RNAcentral lists this long non-coding RNA (47571 nucleotides) under Setaria viridis. RNAcentral describes it as "long non-coding RNA (SVIR_LNC005966)". Lineage: Eukaryota; Viridiplantae; Streptophyta; Magnoliopsida; Poales; Poaceae. The record is from RNAcentral.
AGUGCUUUCAGGUUAUCAUGCUCAACCAAUAGCAUCAAGUUAUCAUUCUUCAGCUUCUGGUUUUCUUCCAACAAGGUCUGCACUUCUUUCUCAGCCUGUUGGGCCUUCUCAACUUCUACUGAUAGGAGGUUGCAUUUGUCCAUUGUUUCAUUCAGCUUAUUCCUCAGAUCUUCCUUCUCCUUCUCCAUGUCUACAAUUAACAUCUUCAGGUUAUCUCUCUCUUCUUCAAUAAUCUUCUUCUCACAAGACAAUGUUGUGACCUCAGUCUCCUUGGAUUUUACGGUGUUAAGCAAUUUUCCUUCCUCCCUUUUUGCAGUUUCAACUAACAAUUUCAUAUUUUCAUUCUCAGAUGACAAAUUUGCAAUCUCUGAACUUGUAGCUUCUUUAUCUUUGAUUGCUUUAUCAAUUAGCUGCUUCAGAUCAGAUAUUUCCUUGGCCUGUUCUUCUGUACUUUGUUUCAGCUUCUCAAUCUCUGCUUCCAUGUUAUGAUGCUCAGUAGGCUUAUGGUAUAGGUUGUUUUCUUCCUUCACUGCUACUUUUGGUGCAGUGACAUCAUUGUCUGAGCUGUCUCCUUCUGUGUCUGAAUCAGAUGAAUCUGAACCAGAGAAAUUGUAGCCAACAUUUUCUAGUUUGCUAAUUAGUUGCUUGUAGUGCUUGUGAAGGUAUUGAUAGUCCUCAUGGAAGCCCCUCACAAGGGAAGACAGCUUUAAUUUCUUGACAGGAUUUCCAUAAUCAUCUUUUUCAUUCUCAGUCUGCUCGGUCUCCUCUCCUAUCAUUCGCAAAAUGUUCUCCACAUUCUCAUCAACAUCUGAAAAACCAAAAUAGCAACUAUUGUUUUCAGACUAUGACUCGCUAGAAAUAGGAUAGCUAUAAGUUGAACAAGCCAGAAUUCUUCUUGAAAAAUGUAACUAUAGCAAUGCCAAAAAAACACUUUAAUGGUGAAAUACGAACAUAUAAGACUCAUUCAUGUUCGGUGGGUAUUGGAAUCACGUUGAGAUCAGCCACAAGAAUGUCAAAAAGGAACAACAGUAGAUCAGUAGGAGUUUUCAUCUAUGUAGAAACUGCACUUCGAGAUCUCUAUGCCAACAUAAAAAUUCCUUUGAGUAAAUAUUAGUCAUGAAUUAAGACAGUACCCUUUUUGCUCUCAAGAAGAUACUUGGAUUUCCUAAUUUUGUGUUUCUUUGUCAUAAUGGCGUUCUUGUCUCCACAAGCUUUACUAUUUCUUUGCAGGAAAUCUUUCUCAGACAAAAUUGAUCAUAGCUGAGGUCGUAUGAUGCUGCAAUCCUGAAUAGCUUUGCGCCUGAAAUGGUUAAAAAAACACAAAGACAAUGAAUGGGAAGUCAUCUGUGGAUAGUAUCUAAUCUUAAAUAGCAAAAUUAUCGAAAGGAAGAUGAAGAUAAAAAAAACAGGUGGUUCAAUAGAAACUAUUUAACUAGUUAAUGAUUGAAAAAUAUCAUCUGCACUUUUCACACAAAACAACUGAAUAAGUAUAAAUUGGAAAAGAUGGAAGCCCCUCUGAAGGGGUAUAUAUAACCAACUUUUGCAAAAUAGGAGUUGAAUGUACAGCUAUAUUUCCAGAGUGCACAGAAAUAUUAAUUUGUGAAGCUUAUAUCCAGAAUUUGGAGCCUAAGUUAGUAGCAGCAGUAACCUUUAAUGCUCUUGCACUAAGACGAAGUAGAAUGGCAAGCAUUUCAAGCAUGGAUCGUAUAUCCUAUAACUAAAUAUGCACUUCAAAUUAUAAAGUAAUAUAAUUUACGUCAUAAGGUCUUGAUUAAAAUUACAAAUAGUUGUUUCUCUGCAGGCCCGUUGUUAUGUCAUGAUCUCCUUCAUUUGUAUGCGGUAAUAUACAGCAUGGAUCGUAAGUGGUCUAUUAAUCAAAUAAUUGAUAUGGCCUCUAAAAGUUUAAAACGUCAAUUUUGACCCUCUACCAGGAAUAUUUCCAAACAUAUGCUAUAUCAUGAUUUUUAGGACAAUUUCAUUAUAUCAUGCUUAACAACAUUUGGGUAAGUGGAAAUGUAAUCUCAGUGAUAAAUAGGCAGAUAAGAUGCCAUGGUUGGUGACCUGGAAGACAAUCACUUGUAAAAUCAUUACAUUUUUCAUUUUGGAUCUUGACAAAUUAUGCUUGGCAGGAAAAGUUUUUUUUAUAAACUACAACAGUAUACCCAUUAACAGUAUAUAUUGAGACUAAGGUACUUCUUUUAGAUAACAAACAAUGGUACUUGUGGAAGACACUUUGGAGGCUCAUAUCUGUUGCAUUAUCUUAGCUUUGUAAUAAGAAAGAAGACAGUCUUGAUGAUUUUGCAAAGAUUGCUGAUAAACACAUCAAUAUUUAUAGAUUCUUCUAUGCCAAAAAAAAAAACAAAGCCAUCUCAAAACCAGAUUCUGACUGAGCUAAAUUGCAAUGCAUGGAUGAGUACAUUAUAAAACGUUUGGUCCAGUUCCAUCCGCCAAAGUUGCGUGGGUGCCCAAAAUUUACAAACCUUUUGGGCAGCAUAACUUCAGACAUAUCUAAAAUGCAUAUGGGUAGGCCAUAGUGAGCCAUGCUGAGUGUCAGCCUUCUGCUAACAGAAGUAUAACAUGGUAGUAUCUUCGGCCUGGAACUAUCAUGGUCUCUGUUGGAAACAGUACACAUAUGCGAUCUAAUUGGGGAAAUAGCAGCCCGAAGGAAUUUUUGUCAUACGAAAUCAAUAAACAUCACGAAUGUAACGACACGCGGGACCCGACCAGUGCUGAAACAGUUAGGAAACUAAUCCAAGAAGAUAGAAUUAACAAGUGACGAGUGCUAACCACUCCGCUAAUAUAUUCAGAUAUCAAGGAAGGGAGAAAAGGAAAAAAAACAUGAAAAACAAGAGAAACAAAGGCGGAGGUUAGGAACAGAGAAAGAGAUGCUUAUGACACUUAACGCUUAUUCUAAUCUAGCAUCUCCCUCACUCUAUGCCAGUUGCCAGUUGCCACAUCAGAACGCACACGACCAGGGGAAGAUUUGGGCCUAGGGCCACGACCCUAGGCGUGGCCCAAAUUGCCCCUUAUACCUCUCCUACAUUUUCCAUGACCCAGCUAGCAUUUCUGUGGACUGGCCUAGGCGUCGCCCAGCAGGCAGGCAGGCAAGCAGCCAGCAAGGGCAAAGGCCCACGCAGCCCAAGUUGUACAGGCACAUGUUGACCCGGGAAUCCUAUCUAUCUUUCGGAAGGUGGGACUAAUGUUUUUCGUGCGACCUAUCAGAUUAUGCGUGGUUCGAGGUGCGUGCGGAGCAGCAGCGUGCAGCCGUGCAGGGACAGGUGUCGUGUCGCAAGUGGAGGGAAGUGGGUGGGAUUCGAACGAGAUUUCCAACUAAUCGUGUUUUCUGGUUCAGAUCCAAUUUGAAAUCCGUUUGAACCAUAGCAAUUUUUUAAAUUAUUGUAACAGAACGAGGUUCAGUAUGUUAUUUUACAUUUUUUUAGUUUACUAUUUCAACAUUUUUAAUAUAUCUUUUCAACAUUUAAUAUAAUAUAUCAACAUUUUUAAUACAUCAUUCAACAUUUUUAGUACAUUGUUUCAACAUUUAAUGUAAUAGUUAAAUAUUUUUAAUACAUCAUUUCAACAUUUUUAGUAUACUGUUUCAAAUAAUAUAUUAUUUCAACAUUUUUUUUAGAAAAUGAUGAAAUGCCGCCUGACCGGCUAACGGCAUCGUGCAGUCGUGCCCUCGCCACUCCAUGCAACUGCGCGUCCCGGAAUCCCGAUGCUGCCCUCUUUGCCUGCUCUCUCUCUCUCUCCCUCUCUCUCCCCCUCUCUCUCUACAGUCUCCACGGUCUCUCCCUCUCAACAAAUCCGGAAAUCCGCAUCAGCGACCGACAGUAGAGCGGCAGCGCACAGCCUUCUCAGAGGAGUGGAUACUCAAGGCUGGUCCCGCGGCACCUGAGGCUGGCGUGCGUGUGCGGCCGCGCGCUAUUGCCGGCACGCCACUACGGUGGCGCCAUGCAGCCGGGUUCGGCAAGGUGGGAACGUGCGGGCGCCAGUGCACUCGUGCGGUGCGCGAGACACAUGCGGCAGGUCCAUGCUCCAUCCUUUAUUAAUUCCUCCUCGUCUCCCCAAUCCUUUCUAUUUCAAUUGAACAAAUUUAAUUAAUUUGUUAUUUAUGCUGCAAUUUGUGGGCUUCUACAGUUAUACUAGAAUUACUCAAUGAAGAGGAAAUAGAAACAGAAGGAAUGGGUGCUACCAGUAUAAGUACUUGUCGCUAAUACUGGGCUAUGCAUUCCCCAUUAUCCUUUUUCACAAAUUAACUGUACUUUGCAUUUUCCUUGCCUAAUUCAUUUGAACAUAUGAUAGGUGUGGACGGACCAAAUCAGCACCAGUUAGGUAUUUUUUGAAAAUUUCCAAGUUUUUAUUGAGUUCAUUAAAAAAUUAGGUUUGGAAUUAAGACUACUAGUCCAUCAACCCGUGCUCCCGCACGGGCUAAUGUUUUUAAAGCCAUCGUAUUUAAAAAUUAUUUAAAAAUAAAUUCCUAACUAAUAAUCAAAAUUGUUUACCUACGGGCAUUAUCAUUUUUUCAAUACUUCAACAUAAUACUCAUAUAGGUAUGUACUUAUCUUUGCCUAGCUGUGAUUGAUUUUUAAUUAAUAGUUAUCCUAUACACUUUUUCAUUCACAUUCACACUUUUUUCAUCUUGUAUCGCACCUCUAUACAUUAUGUUUAGCAUAAAAAUCAAUAUUUUUCAUCAAUUCCUCACAUACAUGUAUAAAUGGUCUAAAUGGUGACACUCAUCAUGUGCAUAUACUUUAACUUAGUAUUUCUAUAUUCACAGCAACAUAAAUAGGUAAUUUAGAAUCAUAUAACAUUUCUUUAUUAUGCACGUGAAGAUAAUUAGAUUAAGAUUUAGGUAUUUACUUUAGGUUAUUUUAAUAACAAGGGUAACUAAGAUACAAAUUACAAUAGCAUUUUAAGUUAUGCUUUAUAUAAUGAUAUGUAUGAGUAAAUUGGAUGAAAAUUAUGAGGUUAUUUUAGAUUAUUUUUUAUAAUGGCCGAGCUUGAUAAUUUACAUAUAAAUUUGGAGUUUAUUUUUGAAUAUUUUCAUAAUGAUAGUGGUGGGUAAAUAUUUAGAAAAUAUAAUAGAUCAAUGAUUAUGAUUAUUAGAGUUUAUAGGAUUGAUAUGUUUUUAUUUUUGUGAGAAUUUCUAUUUGUCCUUUUUUUUCUACCGUGCCUCAUGGGAACUAAUACAGAGUUUCCAAUAGAAAAAAAUAAGACCACAUUGCUACAAAACUUGAGCUACCUCUUAUUUGUUAAAUAUUCGAACACAAUACUUAUAUAGAUAUAUACUUAUUAUCUUCAUCCGAUUGUGACAGAUAUUAGUUAGUGAUUACUCUAUAAUAUUUUCAUCCACAUUUAUAAUAUUUAACUUUUCACUUUACAUCACAUGUAUGCGCUUGCAUUUGAUUAAUGGACCCUAAUUUUGAGCCAUAAUUUUAACAUAGAAAUCUAUAUUUUUAUCACUUCCUUUAUAUCUUUAUAAAUGGUGACACACAUCAUGUAUAUCUUAAUUAUUAUAUCAUAUACCAACGGUGUAAGAAAUAUAUGAUUUAGAAUCAUAUAUUGAUGUAUAUUUUUAAUUAAGGUGAUUUGGAUUCAAAUGCAGGGUUACCUCAUGUUAUUUUUGAUAAUGGCAUACAUGGGUAACAUAGAUGCAAAUUUAAGGAAUUACUUUAAGUUUUUUAAGUAUUAGUGGUGGGUAAUUUAGUUACAAAUUUAGGGGUUAUUUUAAAUAUUUUUAUAAUGGUAUAAGUGGGUAAUUUUGAUAGGGGGCUAUUUUAGUUAAUUUUAUAUAAUGGCAGAGAUGGGUAAUUUAGAUAUAGAUUUAGGGGUUAAUUUAGACUAUUUUCAUAAUGGUAUAGUGGAUAUUUUUUUUAGAAAAUAUAAUAGAUUCAAUGGCUACGAUGAUUUGAGUCUACCGACAGAUGUUUUGCUUUUUUUUUAUGAAUUUCUAGAUUUCUCUCUUUUCUAAGAGUGUCCACCUAAGAACCACAGGUGGCUUUACCUGGAGGCUUCAAAAGAACUUCCAAUUAGUGAUAGUAAGAUACUCUAAAAAGCAUAGCAUGCAUUUGAUAUUUUGCUGCUGUGACUAUCGCUAUGGGAGCUAAUCUGGGUGGUUCAACCGCUUAGAUAAGUGGCCCUAGGCGUAGAAAUCUGCCAGCUCCGCCACUGCACACGACCCAACAUAGAUCCAUCCAAGAACACACACAGCCAUACGGAAAUUUCUCCACUACCGCAAGAACAGUAAUAUCACAGCAGCACACCCAGAUAGAGAAAUGAGGAACUGGAGGGAGAAAAUAAGUGGGAAAAUCAAGAAACGUACCGCCGAAGUGCCGCCUUCUCCUCCUCUACAGCUAUCUCCCACAACUUCUUGAACCCGAAACAAGAUCUGACAAAGACGAAAAGGAAACCAAGCAUGAUCAAAGAUGGCACACCACAGUUGCAAUUGCAAGUAGGAAAAGCAGAGAGACCUGUCACCUGCCAGAUCAAAACAGGGGAGCACGCCCCCAACAAAAAGAGACGAAAUGAAACCAGACCAAGGCGCAAGAGGAGCAGAGUUACCUGAAGGCUAGGAUGAAUCGCUUGCUCGACGAAGCAAGCAGAGGCCGCAGAGAACCUGCCCCAGAGGCUUCUUCUCCACUAGGCUCUGGCUCUCUGAUGUGUGGGCAGCGUUACAAAUGCGCACAACUACACAAGUGAGCAACUCUCGCCUUGUCCUUUUGAAGCCUCUGCAGCAUCUACCUGAGCGCGGCCUGCCUUUUUGUGAUUUUGUAUCGUCCAUGUCUCGUUUUGUCUCUGCGUUCCCGCCUUAACGCUAGGGAGCCAGGAUCUUCUACUUCAGGACUCAGGACAUAGGAAACGUAACUCAUGGACCCAUGGGCAAAAGCACAAGUACAGAAGCGCUAGAAUGCAUUAGAAUAUGCUCUGUUUGGUAUGGCUCCAACUUUGGGUGGAGCUGCUCCACUCCAGAAUUUCACAUGGAGCCAGCUCCGCUCCAAAACUCCAGAACAAAAAUGGGAUGUUUGGCUAGAUGGGUGCUCUCAGCUCCAAAAAAGAUCGAUUUCAGUGUGGAUUGCCAUUGUUGCCCCCCAAUUAAGGCUCCACUUGUCAUCCUCUCUAUCCCAUCUUCUUCUUCCCCUUUUUCCACUGCACUGUGCCGCACACGGGAGACCCUCCACGGGCGGCGGCGUGGGCGGCGGGCGGCGGGGUGGGCGGCGACGGGCGGCGGGGCAGCUUGGGCGGCGACGGGCGACGACCGGGCGGCGGGGCUGGCCAGCCACGGGGGCGGCGACGGGCGGGGCUCUGGCGGCGAGUGGGGCUCGGGAGAAUAGAAGGGAGAAUAGAAUGAAAUAUUUUUUUUGUAACCAGUGGUAUUGGUGGGUAAUUACCCACCAACUCCACGAGGAGGUUCAAAAGAGAGGUUUCUGGAGUAGCAAAAGAGGUGCUCCAAAACUCCACCUCCAUUUGCACUACAGCUCCAUGGAGUUGGCAACUCCAUGGAGUUUUGGAGUUGGGGUGUUUGGCUGAAUUUUUUGAUGGAGUUGCUGGAGUUUAGGAGUGGAGCCGUGCCAAACAGGACCAUAAACCUUUUUGGUAAAUUAUCAUGAAACCAUUUUUUCUAUUCCACACACGCAAAAAAAAGAAAAUUCUUCAAACCAUGUAUAUGCAAAAUCCGUCCUACAUAACCUAGGGUCAAUAUGGAAUAGCCAUGCUCUUUUAGCAUGGGUCUCAGUAUGUUAACAUGUGUAUAAACGUCACAUUCAUCAAGCUAAGCUAUUGUAGUCUUGCAGUAAUUUGCUAUGAAAAACACGGUUUGAGGUAGAAUUGUUUCAAAAAUGGUAUAGCAAAAUACGAGUCUCAGCUUUUUCUCUACAUAUCCAUUUUGUUUAAAAAAACGAGUCCCAGUCAUAGGAUGAUCUUCUAGAUUAAAUAUGAAUAAAGCCGUUUACUGUGAAUUGCAAUGACCUUUCAAAAAGGCUCGGUUCUUAGACGAUGGAAGGUGGGAUGAAGAGCGGCAGCAUUCCGUGCCACUCUCUUCCUCAUGGAGACAAUCAUUGGUCACGUUUCUUUGUUGAAAAAAAGUGUACUUUUCUUCCCUCAAAUAUUGCAAAAGUGUAAUAUUCAUCAUUCAUGUUUCAUUUGGUGCAAAUCAAACCCUUACCUAACUAAACCGGUGCAUUUAUCAUCCCACCUUAAUUCAACAAUGGUUUAGUGUUAUAUAAUAUCAGUUUUGCCCAUGUAAUCUAGUCCCUGCUUAGCAGCGUCUGAUGUUGAGUCAAUCGGUAUAAUAGUUCGGUGUGAAUCCAUUCCAUUGAUUUUCUGAUAAAUUUUUAUGGGAUAAGCAAUUUAGAGGAUUUUUGGUUUUUUUGACUUUAUAUAUUCAACUCAUCAUAUUACACGCUAAGCAUGGAUUAGUCAGAUGAUUGUGCGGCAUAAACCUCCGUUAUAUAGCACUUAACCACUGUUAGAUUAAGUGGGAUGAUAAAUGCACCAAUUUGGUUAGUUAACGGGUUGAUUUGCACCAAAUGAAAUAUGAGAGGUGAAUGUCACACUUUUGCAAUACAUGAGGAUGAAAAAUACACUUUUUCUUUUUUUUAAUGCCACCAUCAUUGGUCAUGUUUGUGGCGCAAUGGUGGGACCUGACGAGGACGGCCUCCUUCAUUUUCGUCCAUCACAUAGUGCGCGGCUUUGCUUUUGUUCCUGUUGCCUGCCCGGGAAAGAAUCUUUUGGGGUUUCAGCACCGUGGACUCCAUGCCGUUCACUGUGUUUACGACUUGUCAAUCGGUGCAAUGACGAGACGCAUAAUGGUAAUAAACUGUAACCUUUUAUGCACGUCAGACAAACAAUGUGAGAACCAUAUGCAUAUGCAGUAUGAUGACAAUAGGAAAAGGAGAAGCGCAGCCGUUCACUGCGUUUACGACUUGUCAAUUGCACCACGAAUAGGAAAAGGUGAAGCGUAGCCGUUCACUGCGUUUACGACUUGUCAAUCGGUGCAAUGACGAGACGCAUAAUGGUAAUAAACUGUAACUCUUUGUGCACAUCAGAUAAGCAACGUGAGAACCAUAUGUAUCUAGAGCAUGAUGACGAAUAGGAAAAGGCGAAGCGCAUGUAGCAGUCAAGCAUCUGAUAGGAACUCAUUUUCCCUUUCUUUUUUUUUUGAGCCUCUGAAGCCUGAUGGUAACAGUUUGUAACGACAUGACGAGAUGCAUGCAACUGAUGUGGACAAUGUGGACGAGUAUGACGACUCAUAAAAUAAAGAGAUUGCUGUUUGGAGAUAAUGUAGGAAUUUGUCCGGUGUAGAAUUUUGAGAAAAAAAGAAAACCUGAUGCUGGUUUCCUUGGAGCAGAAAAAUUGCAACAUGGGAGCCAUAGGAGAGAGCUGAUUCCUUUUAGGGAGGCGGGCUGUGGAGGAGCUACAGAUAAAAAUUGGUGUGGGCAUCACACUGCGCCUGACCCCAAUAUUCCUUCCGAAUUCCGAUUGGUGGUUCAGAUCUCAGCAGCGCCGAUCGAUCGAUCGACCGACCUGUAACGGAACCGGGACGUGGACGGAGCAUGCGACCGUGACCUGUGGGGGCUCCGAUCCGUUGCCUCUGUAGUCUGUGCGGGGGGUGCGAGACAAGACGGCAUGCACUGUGCGAGCAUGUUAGCUGCAGCGCCGGUUGUACAUGCCUCCGUCGCCUAUACAGCGAACCGAAGCCGGAUAGACGAGAUGGAAUUUUUUUAUUUUUAUUUUUUUUACAAUUUUGCAGAAAUAAAUAGCGGAGGAAAAAAUUAGCAAAUAUAGACGUAUGCCGCCAGAUGAAACGGUGGUAAAGCUGGAUAGACGAGAUGGAAAUUUUUUUUCAUUUUUAUAUAUUUUUUUACGAUUUUGCAGAAAUAAUAGCGGAGGAAAAAAUUAGCAAAUAUAGACGUAUGCCGCCGGAUGAAAUGGCUACCGCCGUUUCAACCGGCGGUAAGAAAAGUUACCACCAUUUCAGCUGGCGGUACAUAUGCAACGAAUAAAAAAAAUCGGAAACGGGGUGUCACGUCAACAACCUUACGACACCGUGGCGCCAGGUCAGCACGCGGAAUAUUAGCAACCGAGGAGCCCACUGACUUACCGCCGGAUGAAACGACAGUAGCUGGUUACCGCCGGAUGAAGCAACGGUAACAACCUUCCAUCGAUUCAAACGACGGGAGUGGGAAGAUCCUGCCAGAUCAGUCAACGGUAGGCAUCCCCACCCUUUAAAACGCAAAGAACGGCCGGGGCUGAGCCAGAGGUGCGUGCCGGUUCAUUCGGGGAGAAAGAAGAGAAAGUGAGGGAGGAGAGGAGAGGAGGGGAGGAGGGUGGAGAUUGAAGCGAAGCUCUACCGGAUUUGCUCUUCGCUUCAGGUAUUAUUUGAAAUCUCGCAGUUUAUCUUAACUUGUAGUUAGUAGAUGUAGUAGUCGAUGUGAUUUAUAAAUGGUGUAGUGUUAAGUAUUAGAUCAAAUCUAGGUGUACAUAUGAGAUAGACAAAUAUAAGUUGAAUUUAGCUUAGUUAUUUUGGUUAAAGUAAAUUUAGUUUGUUGAUUUAUUUAGAUAACUUUAAGAUUAAUAUUAUUGGAAAUGUACGAGUUAUAAUUUUAUAUAGUUAUUCAGAAUGUAGGUAUUUUUAGGGUUAGUUCAAAUUAAUAACAUUUAGUAAUAAUGUCAUUCAUGUCGUGUAUAAUUUUAUAUAGUUUUUCAGAAUGUAGGUGUGAUUAGGGUUAGUUAAAUUUAUUAAUAUUUAGUAAUGAUCUCUCUUGAUGUCGUGUAUAAUGAUAGGGUAAAGUAAAAUUAAUUUGUUGAUAUAUUUAGAUAACUCUAAAAUUAAUAUUAUUGGCAAUGCACGAGUUAUAAUUUUAUAUAGUUUUUUAAAUGUAGGUGUUGUUGGAGUUAGUUAAAAUUAAUAACAUUUAGUAAUAAUAUCUGUUCAUGUCGUGUAUAUUGAUAGGCAUGUUAGACAAUUUAUUUUUCCAAGUGUUCUAUGGUCCGGGGGAGGUUAGAUAUGUUUCAGAAGGGGUAGAUUUGUCUGAAUUUAAGUCGUUCUGGAAACAAGUACCAAGAGCAAGAGAGAAGACUUGGGCAUCAAUAUGCAAUUGGCUAUUUAAAUCUUUCAAGCUUGAUAGAGAUCAAGUUGAGCUGUCUGUUAGGGCUGUAGUGAGGUUUCGAACUAAUAUAAUAUUUUAGGAGUUGAUUGUAACAACUCUCCCUAAAUUAAGUGCUUUUAACUAUAAAACAGUGAUAAAUCCCUAAUUAAAGAAGUGAAAUGACCUUUAUAACCCUAAGAAGAUUUUUUUGGAGUUUGAAAUAAAGCUUGAAAUUUUAUAUACAAACUUAAGUUUCUGCCCAAAGGAGAGUUUUAAAACUUUUUAAUUCAAACAUCUUUUGUUAAAGGCACUUUGACUAAUUCGGAGUGGAAGGGAGUCAAAAACAGCAAUCAAAACCGGUUUACUAAAGGACCCUAAAAAUCUCUUUAAGUCCUGGAAUUCGAGUUUUCCUCCAUCUUUGUAAGCUUUCAUCUCACAAAUUCCUAUCUAAACUUGAGUCAGGGCCUUAAUGAAAGUUGUAGUACCUCGAGUGUGUUCCAACCUUGUUACACUGACCCAGAUCCAAAUCGGGCCCGAACCUGUCCAAAACCCCGGUCAAAGUGAGGUAAAACAGUCAACUCACCCCUGAUGCCUUAAAAUCCUAAGUCUGAAAUUCCAGAUUUUUGGCUAACUUUGGCAUGAAAUAUCUUUGAAUCCUCUCACAAUCUAAACCGACACCUUCAACAAAGUUCAAAGAACGUCCAGACUUGAGCAAGUUUGUUUAAAAGAGUUUUGGAAGUUGUGUUGAAAAAUCCGAAGAAAGAUCUCCCCAAAGCUGGUCGGGCUUGCUGCCCGAAGGGAGCCUCGACGCCCGCGCGCCAGAGUACGUUCGCUCGCGCGCCGCGUGGCCGCCGGCCACCGGCAGCUCGCCGGUGCCCUAUCACCAGCGCGACAGCGACAGGACGAAGGCCACGGCGCCCAACCCGCGCCCGCGACAGGACGGAGUGAACGCCGGGCUAGCCAACCGCCGGCCGCGCACGUGCCGCCUUCCGCUUGCCAUGGCUCUGCUCCGCCAACCCCGUUCCGCCCAUCCGCCGGGAAAGCUGCAAUGCCCACGGCGUCCCGCGCCUCCGCCUGCUCGCCCAACCCCCACGGUAGCCCUCCGCCUCGCCCGCCCGACAGACCGGAAGCCCCAGACGCGCGCCGCCCAAGGCCAAUCGCCGCCGAAGACCACCCGGAGCUCCGCCUCCUCUGCCCAAUGGCGCCGCUGGCCAAUGAUCGCCUUGCCCACGCACUCGCCGCUCCCGGCCUUAUCCCUUCCCCACCGGAGCCCCGCCUCGACCCUCUGCCCCACCCCGGCCGUAUAAAAGGAACCCCCUCACCGGCAAUGCCACCCCUUGCCACCGCCCGCACCCGCGCCACCGCUUUCUCCUCUGCGCCGCCGCUGAGCUUCCGUGGAGCUCACCCCUCUGCGCCACCCCGCACUCCGGCGACUUCGCCGCCACACUCUUGAGGAAGUUUCCCUCUCCGCUCAAACCGCUUCUCCCACGUCUAUUAUACGUGCGCAGGUUCCGUAUGUUAAUGCAUGCGAAGGAUGGUAUGGUUCGAUUCCAACGAGCCUAUCAUCAUGGUUGUUCGCCCACGUUUAUUAUACGUGUGCAUGAUUCCGCAUCACGAGAAUGCGAAGGGUUAUAGGAGUCCAUUCAAAGGAACCUAUUUCCACGGUUGUUGCGCUGUCCAUGCAGCGUUAAAUGCAUGGGUGCCGUUUCUAUAGUGAACGGUAAUGAUUGUGGACGCUUUCCUGAGUGCUGGCAUGGAAGGUUCAAGCUGUGAUGUGUUUUUCUGCAGGUACACUAACAACGUUGCAUUCGAAACGAUGCCUAGUAACUCGACUAGUUAUUAUAGUGAGAGUUGUAUUGUUGCCUUGCCACCGGCACUAACCACGUAAGUCCAAAGAUUUUUGGCAAUUAUUUUUGAUUGAGAGGACAACUAGGACGUGCAUGCAUUAAGAAAUAAAAAUCGCAACCUAAGUAAAUAAAAACCAAACUCGAGUGCGUCGUAAAAAGAAAUGCACCGCGUUAAGGAUUGUCUAGCUGUCCUUUUUUCUGCCAUGCACGGUAAAAUUAAUCUUUCAGGUGGAUCCGCAUGAUAACUCUAGAAACUUUAUAUAUAAGAAAGUUGUGUUAAAAUCUCCCAAGUAAACUGCUGAAAAAUUUUCACAAGGUACUACCAUUUGGGUUGAGAGUUGUGAUCAGUUUUGUGACCCCCUGUUAGCUGUUAGCCCUAAGUGCACACCAGCGGAGUUUCUUCUGUUUCGACCACCUUAAGGACCUUUUCUGCGAGGAGUCCUUUAAGCAAAGUUUUUCAUAACUUAGUAAAGGACUUACUGGUAGAAUUUCAGCUUUGUUAGGUCUCUGGUUUGGAAGUUAUGUUCAGAUUAUCUUGGCUCGAUCUGAAAAAUUCCAGCAUGUACACUUAAUGGAAAUCUGAGAUUACCACCUUGUUAGGUUCUGUUCUAGCCCUACCAUUGAAUACCAAACUUGUUACACACUAUCUAAAGAACAUGCUGGUAAAAUUUGAGAAAUUUUGGAGGAAUACUUGCUGAGUUAUGAGCUUUCUCUAACUGCCAGAAAUCUGUUUGAUUUCCAAGUGUUAAUUCCGUUUCUCACUUGACCUUUGGUUACAGAUGGCGCAGCCCAUGCACAUUGCAGUCGGUACGGAUGGCACCACCUACUCACGGUGCCUUCACUACGAGGGUUUCCCAGCUAUGUUGUGGGACACUCUGCGCUCUUUCGGGUACCAGUCGCCGCCGGUCUAUGCGGGACGUGCGUACCAGGACCACGGGAUUCCGCGGAGCCGCGUGCACGUGCGGGUACCCCCGCCUCCGGAUCAGCCACAAUGGCCGCUGUUGGAGGUGGUGGCCGAGGGACACAAGCUCCACGACACCUGGGAGUUUGCAGCCUUGCAGACCUUGACACAGUUCUGCCGGGCACACCCUCUUGAGAUCGUGCUGGACCCGAUUGGGUUGUUCCCUGCCUGGGAUACGAGGGACCCGGACUGGUUGGAUCGUAUGGAGCAUAUGGACUUGCUCGGGCUUAUGGAUCCACAGCGCACGAUUUUUGUUUCAGCUCGUUGCCUGAACGUGUUCUACAGGAUGGUUGAGCUGCAGAGCCGAGCGAUGGCUACGGUGAUCGGGAUGGCAGUGGCCAACCAGGUUGCCUUGUCUACCGUGCAGAGUGGCAUGGUGGACCAGUCGCUCGAGCUGGUACAGAAGGAUGUCCAGAUUGGUGAGAUGCAGGACAAGAUUACUCGUUUGGAGGAGGAGAUUGUGGAUAUGGAGCACGAUAUGGAGAUCUUGGCUGACCAGUUCUAUGAUGUGAACAUGGAGCUGGCGAACGCCAAUGAGCACCUGCAGGAGCAUCACGAUGAGCUUAAUGCCAUCCACGCCUUAGAGGUGCAGCAGGAUGAGCCGAUGGCCCAGGAGGAGGAGCCUGAGGAGAUCGAAGGCUUUUCGAGCAUGGACUAUGAGGAUGCCUCUCCGCAGCCUCCAGUUGGUGAUGCUCACUCUCCGGUCCUUAGCUUUGCCUCCAUGGGCAACCUCGACGACUUCUAGUUGUGUUGGCUGGUUGUUGAGCGGUUCUCUUUUGUUUUUACUCCUCGGCGACCUAUAUUUUGGCCAGUGAUGUAAUAGGUUAGCUUGAGUUGAGUAUUUGGGUAUUGGAAAAAAAAACUGAUUCUAUGUAGGAUUGUCAUUGCUACCUCUGGUGUAAUGUCUGAAAAUUAUGGCAGAAUUGCAGUGACAGUUUCUCCUCAGUUUUACCCCUGUCUCCACUCAUUUUUGAGCCAAAGUUUGUGUACCAAAGUUGUGCGAAAACUUCUAUCCUAGCUACUCGUAAAGUUUCAACUCCUUCGGAUCUGUCAAACGCCCGCUAGAGCCAAAAUCCCACUGCUCAGCUUGCUGAAAAAUCAAUUGGACAGCAACCUGCUAGAACAUCUAAACGACCUCUUUCCCUUCCUUUUCGGUCAACAAGUGUAACCUGAAGGUGGUUGUGAACAACAUAUACUAACCCUCGCUUAACGAUGAGAACCAUGUGCCCUUCAAAGAAGAGAUAUGCAAAGUUGAUUGUUGUUUUUGCACCAUCGGCAAGACUAGCUUUUAUCCUUUCCGCACAUAAUGUUUCCUUAUGGUUAAACAAGAUUUUGGGGCUAUGUGACUAAUGGAAAGGUGAAUCUUGCAGAUGGCACAUCGCACACGCUCCGGCUCCAUUCCCAGUGGCAGCGAGGUGCCUCCCCCACCUCCGCCUCCGACCACCCUCGAGUCGAUCUUGGCAGCUCAAACCGAGCUGUUGAGGCACAUCGCUCAAGGGCAACAGCAGCAGCCCCAGGGAGGAAGGGCCCAUCAACAGCCCCAUGUUGCUCGCUACGAGGAUUUUCUGGGGACCCAGCCUCCUCUGUUUCACAAGACGGAGGACCCGCUUGACACCGAUGCCUGGAUUCGCGCUAUCGAGUCCAAGUUCUCCCUUCUCACCGCCCAUUGCCCGGAUGAGAACAAGGUUCGGUUCGCCGUGCAGCAGUUGCGUGGUUCUGCUCUCCUAUGGUGGGAUCAUCACCACGCCAUGCAGCCAGCCGACCACGUCGUCGGUUGGGAGGAAUUCAAGACGGCGUUCAGGGGCCAUCACAUCCCUGAGGGUCUUCUGGAGCGCAAGCUCAACGAGUUCCUGGCUCUCACCCAGGGAGGCCGCGAUGUCCUGCACUAUGCACAGGCUUUCAAUGACCUGUGUCGCUAUGCAGGCUAUCAUGCGGACUCCGAUGAGAAGAAGAGAGACCGCUUCCGUAGAGGCUUGAGUUUGGAGCUCAAGGAAAGGCUGAAUCCCAUCAAAGUGGAUUCCUACAAUGAACUGGUGAACCUGGCAAUUUCCCAGGAAGAUUGCAUGAGGGCCCUCAAGGCCGACAUGAAGAGGAAGGCCCCAAUGCCGGCACCCGGCCCGCCUGCCCAAAAAUACAGAAUGGUUCCCCCACAAGCGCCUCGUAGGCCCGCACAGCCUGGGAGAUGGGUUGCUCGACCUCCACCGCAGGCAACACCUCAUUUCCCCGGAUUCCAGCCGCAAGGUCCCCGACCUGCUCUUCCGUUGCCGCCGCGCCCAGUCACUGGAAACCGCUGUUUCACUUGCGGGAACCCAGGACACUUUGCCAAGGACUGCCCCCGCGACAAGAAUCAACGACCCGGUCAGAGCAAUGCACUAGGAAACAAGGGGAAGAAGCCGAAGGUUCAGGUCCGACAAGGCUGGCUGAACUUCACCACCCUUGCUGAACUUCCAGAGGGCGCACCAGUGAUGACGGGUACCUUUUCUAUCUAUAACCAACCCGUCCUUAUUCUGUUUGAUUCAGGAGCAUCUCAUAGUUUCAUUGGGACUAGAAUCAGUGCUAAGUGUGGGUUAGAUUUCUGUCACACCAAAGGUACCUACAUAAUCUCUACCCCGGGUGGAAAGGUAGCUUCACACCAAGUGAGCCGCAGAGUACCUAUCCAGUUAGGGAGAACCCUUCUUAAGGAAGACCUGCUUACCCUUGGGAUAGAAGGAAUAGAUGUUAUCUUGGGUAUGGAUUGGAUGACCCGACACCGAGUGACCCUAGAUAUCCCUGCCAGGGCAAUCCAUAUAAAUUCACCCAAGUAUGGUAGCUCAACUAUACACUUACCUCCCCGAGAGUGCCAAACUUCUUGUGCCUAUCCCGUGUCUGAAGCCCGAUUGGAAGAUAUUCCAGUGGUAUGCGAGUAUCCGGAUGUGUUUCCAGAUGAUUUGUCGGGUAUGCCGCCUGAGAGAGAUAUCGAGUUUGCCAUUGAGUUGCAACCAGGUACUGCCCCAAUUUCAAAGAGACCAUAUCGGAUGCCACCAGCCAAACUGGCAGAAAUGAAAACUCAGUUGCAUGAUUUGUUGGAAAAGGGUUUUGUUCGCCCAAGUACAUCACCUUGGGGUUGUCCCGCCUUGUUUGUGAAAAAGAAGGACGAUAGUCUGCGUAUGUGUGUGGACUACCGACCUCUCAAUGCGGUGACGAUAAAGAACAAGUACCCACUACCCCGCAUUGAUGUUCUGUUCGAUCAGUUGGCUGGAGCUAGAGUGUUUUCCAAAAUUGACCUCCGUUCUAGCUACCACCAAAUCAAAAUCCGCCCGUGCGACAUUCCAAAGACUGUCUUUUCUACACGAUAUGGACUCUGCGAGUACUUAGUCAUGUCAUUUGGGCUUACUAAUGCACCGGCUUAUUUCAUGUAUCUCAUGAAUUCGGUGUUUAUGCCCGAACUCGACAAAUUCGUCGUGGUAUUCAUUGACGACAUCUUGGUGUACUCAAAGAAUGAAGAAGAACAUGCAGAGCACCUAUAUACUGUACUCCAACGUUUGAGAGACCACCAACUCUAUGCCAAAUUCUCUAAGUGUGACUUCUGGCUGGACAGUGUUAAAUUCUUGGGACACACCAUAUCCAAAGACGGUAUAGCAGUAGACCCAAGCAAAGUGCAAGAAGUAAUGGACUGGAAGCCGCCCACUUCAAAUCAUCAGAUUCAAAGUUUUCUUGGUUUAGCCGGUUACUACCGUCGCUUCAUCCCUGACUUCUCAAAAAUAGCUAAGCCAAUGACGGAACUGCUGAAGAAAGGAAGUAAGUUUGUGUGGAGCGACAAAUGUGAAGAAGCUUUCCACACCUUGAGACAAUUAUUGACUUCUGCGCCAGUUUUAGCUCAGCCGACACCACUAGGCCAUUUGACGUGUAUUGCGAUGCCUCUGGCACUGGACUUGGUUGUGUUCUUAUGCAAGACAGCCGAGUCAUUGCCUAUGCCUCACUAGCGUUACGACCACAUGAGUUGAAUUACCCUACUCAUGAUCUCGAGUUAGCAGCAGUCGUUCAUGCUCUGAAAAUAUGGAGGCAUUAUCUCAUGGGAACCCGAUGCAACAUCUAUACAGAUCACAAGAGUCUUAAGUAUAUAUUCACUCAAGCAGACCUCAACAUGCGCCAGAAGAGAUGGCUAGAAUUAAUCAAGGAUUAUGACCUAGAAGUGCUUUAUCACCCAGGUAAAGCCAACGUAGUUGCAGAUGCCCUCAGCCGCAAGAUCCAUUGUAACUACUUAUCGGUGGUUAAUUAUGCCGAGACCCUGUGUCACGAAAUGGCUAAACUCAACUUGAAAAUUGUUCCCCACGGCACCUUAAGUCAUAUUUCCUUGGAGCCCACCCUGCUUGACCAAAUAAUUCUAGCACAGCUAGAGGACAAAGAGAUAAACCUUAUCAAAGGGAAACUUGCACAGGAGGAUGAGGGAUAUAAACGUUUCCGACAGGAUUGGAAAGGAGUGGUACAUUAUGAAGCUCGACUUGUAGUUCCAAAUGAUCCCGAGCUUAAGAAACAAAUUCUGGAUGAAGCACACCUUUCCAAGUUCUCGAUUCACCCCGGUAGUACCAAGAUGUAUCACGACCUCCGACAAAAUUUCUGGUGGAGUGGGAUGAAACCCGACAUUGCACGAUAUGUUUCAGAGUGUGAUACCUGUCAGCGAGUUAAGGCAAGCCACUUGAGGGUAGCUGGCCCCUUGCAGCCGCUGCCUAUUCCCUCGUGGAAAUGGAAAGACAUAAGCAUGGACUUUAUAGUCGGACUACCCAAUACCUCCCGCAAGCAUGACUCCAUAUGGGUUAUAGUAGACCGACUAACCAAAACAACACAUUUCCUUCCAGUACACACCACCCACGCCAUACAGAAAUAUGCAGAACUGUACCUUGAUCGGAUUGUUUCCUUGCAUGGUGUACCUAAAACGAUCAUCUCUGAUCGAGGUAGUCAGUUUGUAGCACGCUUUUGGGAGCAGUUGCAGUUUUCACUUGGCACUAAAUUGAUCCGUAGUUCCACAUAUCACCCUCAGACCGAUGGGCAAACUGAAAGAGUUAAUUAGAUUUUGGAAGAUAUGUUAUGCGCCUGUGCUAUUCAUUAUGACAAGAACUGGGACAAGUGUUUGCCAUUAGCAGAAUUUUCCUACAACAAUAGUUACCAAGAUAGCCUGAAAAUGGCACCUUUCGAGGCCUUUUAUGGACGUACAUGCCGAACCCCACUAAGCUGGUCGCAACCCGGAGAGCGAACGGUGUAUGGACCUGACCUGGUCAUGGAGGCCGAAGAAAAAGUGAGAGUUAUCCGCAAAAAUCUCAAGGCCGCCCAGUCUCGACAGAAGAGCUAUUCCGAUCAAAGAAGAAGACCCAUCCAAUUAAAGGUUGGGGAUUUUGUAUACCUACAGGUUUCACCGACCAAAGGCGUACAACGUUUUGGAGUAAAGGGAAAGUUAGCUCCGCGCUAUAUUGGCCCCUAUGAGAUCGUAGAGGUGUGUGGACCCAUAGCGUAUCGAAUUAAACUUCCAGAGAAGAUCGCAGCGAUACACGAUGUUUUCCAUGUCUCGCAACUCAAGAAGUGCAUCAGGAUUCCAACUGAAAUCAUUGCCCCGGAAGAAUUAGAGAUCGAACCCGAUUUAUCAUAUAAGGAGUAUCCUGUUAAGAUCCUCGACCGGAAGGAAAGGCAUACUCGUUGGCAGAUGGUAAAAAUGUACAAAAUUCAGUGGAGUAACCAUACGGAAGACGAAGCGACAUGGGAGACGGAAGAGUAUCUCAACGCUAACUUCCGCGGUUUUCUUUUCGAUCAGGGAGGUACGUUGCACCAGCCACACUAGUUCUUUCUGCACUUGAAUCUCGGGGCGAGAUUCCCUUAAGGGGGGUAGGCUGUAACAACUCUCCCUAAAUUAAGUGCUUUUAACUAUAAACCAGUGAUAAAUCCCUAAUUAAAGAAGUGAAAUGACCUUUAUAACCCUAAUAAGCUCUUUUUGGAGUUUGAAAUAAAGCUUGAAAUUUUAUAUACAAACUUAAGUUUCUGCCCAAAUGAGAGUUUUAAAACUUUUUAAUUCAAACAUCUUUUGUUAAAGGCACUUUGACUAAUUCGGAGCGGAAGGGAGUCAAAAAUAGCAAUCAAAACCGGUUUACUAAAGGACCCUAAAAAUCUGGAAUUCGAGUUUUCCUCCAUCUUUGCAAGCUUUCAUCUCACAAAUUCCUAUCUAAACUCGAGUCCGGGCCUUAAUGAAAGUUGUAGUACCUCGAGUGUGUUCCAACCUUGUUACACUGACCCAGAUCCAAAUCCGGCCCGAACCUGUUCAAAACCCCGGUCAAAGUCAGGUAAAACAGUCAACUCACCCCUGAUGCCUUAAAAUCCCAAGUCUGGAAUUCCAGAUUUUUGGCUAACUUUGGCAUGAAAUAUCUUCGAAUCCUCUCACAAUCUAAACCGACACCUUCAACAAAGUUCGAAGAACGUCUAGACUUGAGCAAGUUUGUUUAAAAGAGUUUUGGAAGUUGUGUUGAAAAAUCCGAAGAAAGAUCUCCCCAAAGCUGGUCGGGCUUGCUGCCCGAAGGGAGCCUCGACGCCCACGCGCCAGAGCACGUUCGAUCGCGCGCCGCGUGGCCGCCGGCCACCGGCAGCUCGCCGGUGCCCUAUCACCAGCGCGACAGCGACAGGACGAAGGCCAUGCCCAACCCACGCCCGCGACAGGACGGGGCGAACGCCGGGCUAGCCAACCGACAGCCGCGCGCGUGCCGCCUUCCGCUUGCCAUGGCUCUGCUCCGUCAACCCCGUUCCGCCCGUCCGCCGGGAAAGCUGCAACGCCCAUGGCAUCCCGCGCCUCCGCCUGCUCGCCCAACCCCCACGGUAGCCCUUCGCCUCGCCCGCCCGACAGAUCGGAAGCCCCAGACGCGCGCCGCCCAAGGCCAAUCAUCGCCGAAGACCACCCGGAGCUCCACCUCCUCUGCCCAAUGGCGCCGCUGGCCAAUGACCGCCUUGCCCGCGCACUCGCCGCUCCCGGCCUUAUCCCUUCCCCACCGGAGCCCCGCCUCGACCCUCCGCCCCACCCCGGCCGUAUAAAAGGGACCCCCUCACCGGCAAUGCCACCCCUUGCCACCGCCCGCACCCGCGCCACCACUUUCUCCUCUGCGCCGCCGCUGAGCUUCCAUGGAGCUCACCCCUCUGCGCCAUCCCGCACGCCGGCGACUUCGCCGCCACACUCUUGAGGAAGUUUCCCUCUCCGCUCAAACCGCUUCUCCCAACCCACCCACCGCCUGUUCCUCCGCGCGGUACUAGAGCUUGCUAGUUGUCCACAUGAAGCUCCGCCACCGCCGGAGCACCGUUGAAGCCUCGCCACCGCCCAAGCCUUAGUACGUACGACCUUCCGCCCAAGUCUACUCCUUUUCGACCCCAAGGCUUCACCGGUAGACCUGGAGGUAAGCCGCCGACCCCUUUUUUUUCGUUUCGCCCGACCCCUUUCUGUUCGGUUCGCCCGACCCCCUUCUGUUCGGUCGCCUGACCCCUUUAUUUUCGUCUCGCCCGACCCUGUCAGUUUUGCCGACCUUUCCCCGCCUCGCCCGAGGGCUCGGCUGUAUCUUUUUCUUUGACCCGAGGGUAUCGGUGAAUUUUUUUUUGGGGAUUUCUCUGUGUUAAGUCUGAGGACCUCGGUAUGGUUUUUCCUUAAAUCUGAGGGUCAGACCAUCAGUUUCUCCAAAUUUGACCCUUUUAUCCUGUUCUCCACCAACUGAAGUUGGACUCCCCAACCUUUCCUGUAGCUUUGCUACAAGUGUCUGAGUUAAAACAUGCGAGUGUGUUGAAAUAACCAUCUAAAAUGUUUAACCCUUGCAUUGCAUUUCCGUGUAGAGUUAAAUCUCACCGACGGGACUUACGAGCUCCACCCGGCACCGGAAGAAGACCCCGCUGAGGAGCUUCACCCCUUCGAAGGAGAGCCCGAAUCGGAGCAAGACCCCGAGGACCCACUAACUUUUCCUGAAGGCAAGCCCCGGUGCAUGAAUUCCCUAUUUUACUUUUAUGCCACUUAUUGAUGCUUAUGAUUGUGCAUUUACGUUGGUAGGAGUUGAUUGGAACCGUAGAUGCAUAAACUUAGUACCUUGAUUUGAAUACUAGUUGCUAAGGUCGAGUAGUUGCAAUGCUUAAUAGGUCCCGGUAAAAUUCGAGUGAUUUCCUGUCACUCGCGAGUUAUAGGAGUUGAAUGUUUCAGUUAUAUCACAACUAUAAGGACGACGGACGGGGUCAGGCUUAUGUUUGAUACUUGGUGGAUUGCCCCGUCUGUCUAAAUGAAAAUGGACUAAGGUCGAAACGUGUCGACGUUCGUGAUCAAGUGUUUGAAAGUACUAAUCUCAUACCUAGUAUGGGAUGGGGAAGCCUACUACCUGAUUGAACUGGGACGUGGCAUACCCUCCGGCUGUCCUUGGAACUUCAUUCCCAUGGUGCAUCAUGUGGGUGCAAGUGCGGUCACAGUGCAGCAAUAGGCCGGGACUGUGGAGCAUUGCACGCCAAAGGUAGUUGGCCCUGACACGUGCCUAAGGGAUCGAUGGGGAUGGCUGACAAAUGAAGCGACCCUUCGUGGUGCGCGGAUGUCAUGAGAUUAGGUUUUCCAUGCAUGGUUAAUAAAUUCGAAUCGAUUCGUCUGCCUCUCACAGUUUGGGACUACUUGAUCGCUAUUAUGCACUGAGUAAAGAUGGAACAUGAUGAUGAUAUUAAUCUUGAUGCUUGUUCUUUAAUUGCUUGGACAUCAUGCUUGUUUAGUAUAAGUUGCUAAUCUAGACUGGAUAAAGAACAUAGAACAUGAGCUAAAAUGUUGAAAGUAAGGACUGACUUUAAACGCUUUUGGCAAAGAAAACCCCAGAGCCAGAAAGCCUUGCAUGUCUAGGUCUUGGUCGUGUUUUUUUCCCCCGACGGGUCAGUCUUGCUGAGUAUUAGUUGCUCAGCCUUGUUGUGGCUAAUCUUUUUCAGGUAAUAUCAAUAGUUUGGUUGCUGGUACCACUUGGCCUACCCAACUCCUUCCAGGCUGGACAGUCGAGUGGGAUCCCUCCUCGGACGGCGAAGGAAGGAAUUUUUGAUGUCAUGAUCGGCUCCGUCGUGAUGUCAUGUAUCGACGUUUAGCUUCUGCUAGUUUUAUUUGACUUUCGAACCUCGCUUUUCGGUCUGAAUUUCAAAAACUCUGAUGUAAUAAAAUGUUGAACUAUGUUGUCGUGAUGGAAUGUUGUAACCUCUGUGCUACUCACCUUCGCGUGAGCGAUGCUUCUCAAUCCUGUUUAUGUGGUUAAUCGGAUGAAUCCGACGGUCGACCAAGUUGACUUGCUUAAAGUGCAUAAUCGCGUGUCAGGCGACUUUAAUGCAUUUUAGUCAGGUUAAUUUGGGCGGUUCCGCCACAUUGAUGCCGCUUGAAGGAACCCAGAACUGGAGGGCCUAUGUAAAUGCUGCUACUAAGCGCGAUUUACCACUGAUAUUGUUUUGUUGAAGUGUUCUAGAAGAUUGGAUCUAGCAAUCAAUUGCAAGAAGAAGUUGGUGGUGGGGAAGUUAGAGGCGAGGAAGGCCUGGAGAUUACCGAUGGGCAAACUGAAAAAGAUACUGAACAUGGGGUAGAAGAAGAAGAUGCAGAGGAUGCACCCCAUGAGCCAAAUGGCGAUGCUGAUGAGGGGGAACACAUCCCUGGGUUAGUUGAGCAGGUAGAGAGGGAAGGAGAAGAGCAUCUUCAUGCCAUGGAUGAUGACUCGUCAUAUAAGGAUGCUAAUCCUGUCCCUCAGAACUGGUCAAGUUAUGACCAUUCAAACCUAGCAAUAAAUGAAGGGGAAAAUAUUCUUGGGAGUACAGGAAGAAUGAGCUUUGUGUCGGUGCUUUGUACCCUAGUGGGGAUGAGGUGAAGACAGCUAUAAAGCGAUGGUCGACUUUAUCUUUGCAAUGGCAGUUCAAGAUGGUGAAGAGCAGCCGGACAAUAUAUGAUGCGUGUUGAGUCAGAAGCAAUUGCCCGUUUAGGGUGCACGCAUACAAGGGCAAGUGGAAGGAUUACUGGGAGGUGACUAGAUUGGUGGAGCAUGAAUGCGUGCUAGAUGAAUUGGAAGCACAACACCGCAACCUCACUGCUGAUUUUGUUGCUCAAUACAUGUAUCCUCAGGUAGUCGAGAAUCCUAGGUAUGAGCCCAAGUCAAUUAUUUGUGCUAUAGAGGAGAAAUUUAAGUACAAAAUUAGCUACAACAAGGCUUACCGAGCCAAACAGAAGGCGUUAGAGAUGAAGUGGGGUACAUACAAAACAUCAUAUGAUAACCUCCCUGCUCUAUUGCACAUCAUAUGCUAGAGGAAUCCAGGAAGCUACUGCGACCUGAAAGCCUAUCCCUGUGCUCAGAAUCCAGGCAAACAGGUUCUGCAGCGGUCAUUCUUGGCCUUGGGUCCUUGCAUUGAGGCUUUUUAGUGAUGUCGCCCAGUCAUUUGCAUUGAUGGCACGUUUUUGAAUGGUAGGUAUAAAGGCACAAUCUUGACAGCUAUUGGGUCCGAUGGUAACAUCCAGGUGUUGCAGCUGACGAUCAUCUUUGUGGAGAAAGAGUCUGUAGAUAGUUGGUAUUGGUUCUUGAAGAGGGUUAAGCAGAUGAUUGUGAAGGAUGUGGAGGACAUUUGUAUGAUUCAUGAUUGGCACAAAGGCAUUCUACGAGCAAUCAAAGACCUACUAAAUGGCAAUAUGGAACGUCGCAAGACAGCGCAGUGGUCGGACUUGAAGACUAGGUGGUGCAUGAGGCAUACGGAGGCAAACUUUCAUAGCCAAUUCAAAAACAAGAUCCUUAUGAAACUGUUUAAACGGCUACGUACCCAGAAUCAGGAGAGGAAAUUCAAUCUACUUUGGAAGAAACUUCAUGAGCUUACAGAGAAACAAUCUGAAGAGCUAGGUAAGAGGCCAGUAAACAGCGAGGUGGACCACCCUGUGUCUCUAGAGGAUGUCGGACUGGAUGGUACAAAUGUCAGGCAAAGACGGGGUAGGUCCAUUAAGACAUUCUCACAGUGGAUUGAGCAUGAGCCAAAGGAAAAGUGGGCAUUACUAUAUGACAAGGGAGGUGCUAGGGACUGCCCCUUGUUGGUAUUGUGGAAUUAUUUUUAUACUGCACCAUUAAUUAUUUCAGGGAUCGGUACGUGGUGGCCAAUAAGUCAAUAGCCAAUAAUCAUAAAAUUUAUGGAUACAAGAUGACAGAGUACAUGGACAAGGUGAUACAAAAGAGCAUCGUGAAGCUUUCCCUCUAAGAAAUGUCAUCGUGGAAGGAUGACCAAAAUGGAAUUCUACCAUGGAAUGGGCACCCCAAAUGCCACUGCGGCUUCCGUGUGUGGUUGCAAGUAUGGGAGGAUCGAUUACCUCAGGGAAAGAAGGGGUAUAGGUACUUCAAGUGUCCUAACAUUGAUGGUGAUUUCAAGGUCCGUCCAUUCAUAAACAUUUUAAAUAUGUUUUCUAUGUACCGGUAACUAACUAAUCACGAAUCAACAUGCAAGCUUGCACAUUUAUGGAAUGGAUCCAUAAUAGACCUUUAGGGGAAGUGGGCAUAAUCCCAGUGGAGCUAGAGACCAAAGGCCAAUACUAUACUAGGCUGGAAGAGGCUCGAGAGGCGGCACGUCUUACUCGGUUUGAGCAAGAACGACGCAUCCGCCAACAACAGAUCCGUUUGAAGGGCAAGGAGGAUGAACUGUAGAGACAGUGCAAGCAGUUAGAUGCUUGAGAGGCAGCACUGAAAUGGCAGGAGGAAUAAUUCAAAGCUCGUCAGGCGCAACUCCUACAAGAAAAACAGCGACAGAAGAACUUGAAGAAGCAGGAUGGAGAAUGUUCCUCCAAAACAGCAAGGAUGGGGAAACUUCCCCCGUUCACUCAGUAGAACAUUAGUUGUGAUCCACCAAUUUACAUUACCUAAGACAUUCUAUCCUAGGCAAGGUGCUUUUUAGGUUUGUCAUAUUGGGCGCCUCACAUGCUAUUGUACUGUUGUUUGUACUGUGAUAACAUUUCGUCUUGAUGCUUUAAGUACUCAGAUUCCACCCUAUUGCCACUAUACUGCUCUGCUGCCAGUAUAGUACUCAAAUAGUGCUAAUCCAUUAUUGACGUGAACCGUCACUAAAAAGCCUACACAAUACACCGCAAGGAUCCUAAACGUGAGCCUUCUCAGGCAGAUGGGACUCCACACUGAGCCCUACGUUCCUGCACCUACAAAGCCUAUAUCUAAGCUUUUUCAGGAUGAUUGAACACAACGGGGUACUAAACAAAUGGAGGCACAAUGCAUCUCCAUCUUAACACUUCCUAUAUGAACCUCCCUCUCCCGUAUCCUUCCACACCACUGAGUAGGAGGAAGAACAAUGGCAUCAGCAAGAAAGAGAGGUUGUAGGAGGAGGGGAUGUUCUUAUUCCCACCAUCACUUGGCUAGGUUCUUUUGGCCAACGGAGUAUGAGGAACCCCUCGACGACUUCACUCUGUAUGAUAGGGCUAACUACGCCCCUCCAAAAUGCCUUAAACCUUAUGACAACCGCCAUGAUGCAUGGCGAAUGUGUUACCAUGGCGUGGCUUGCGUUGUGCAACUGUUUGAUGGCUACGGUGAUGGAAGCCGGUGUUUCUUUCGAUGCCCGUAUGACUUGGUGAGUUAUCUUAUUACUUCCUUAAUCUUGCUAAGCUUUUCGUGCUACAAACUAACAUCAUGUUUAGUCUUAUCUUGAUGAAGGAAACUACCGUUAUGCGAAGUGGGUCGAUCCUUCACUUCCUGAGUCAACCCAAGAGUACAUCCACUACCUUAAGUGCAAGAUCUUUGACCUCGAGCGUAGGGUGGAGGAUCUUCAAUCCGAAGUUGAUGCAAAUCCUUGAGCGGUUAACAUGAUUAACAUCGCAGGUGACUUGAUUUGUACCGAUCCAUGGUGCAAAUACCCCUACCACCACAACAAGGAUCGCCCAUCGUCACUGCCUUCCUCUGGGGGUGCUGGAUAUUAUGAGGCUGGGCCCUCCCAGCUCUCGCAAAGCCAGUUCUACUAGAAAGUAGAGAUGGCUUUAUCCCCGACUAUUUCAAUUACCUAAGGCAUGUUAGGUUUAGCAACGGCAUAUGUUUAAAAUAGCAUCCGUACCGCACAUGCCACUACAAUCUAUAAUUAAUUGUUUAGUCUAGAGUCGAUGUAUUUUAUAGUCGGGAGUUAAUUCAAUUUGCAAUAUUUCAUCGAAGCAUGCUCUCUCUCCAAUUUGGAAGUUUCGUAUUGCAACUAAUAAUGAUAUAUUCAAAUAUUUAGCGCUUCCAAUCUAACUUACAUUUUCAUAUCUAAGAAAAAAAUCAUGAAAUCAAAAUAAUAAAAUAAAAUUACUAGAACUUAUAGCCAUCUCACAUGACUAUAGCCGUUCCAACUGGCUAUAGGCUUGUCCACCUCUUACAACUAGCGGAAGAAGGUAGGAGGGAUCUUACCGUUGUUUCAAACAGCUAUAGCCGUUUGGACUGGCUAUAGCCGUUUCAAACGGCGGUAAGGGUCCCUACCCCUGCAUCACCGCCACGUGCCUAACCACCGAUUCAAACGGCGGUAUCUAUUUUUAUUCCUUUUGGACUGACCUACCGCCAUUUGAAACAGCUAUAGCCAUUUCAUCCGGCUGUAUAGGUCUAGUUCUGCUAAUUUUUUGCACGUGUAUUUAUUUUUGUAAAAUCAUAAAAUACAAAAUAUAGAAAUAAAAAAUCGACGAGAUGGCUUUAAAGCCCAAUACGGCCCAUCAUGGGUCGUCUUCCUCCUCCAGCGCCGCCGCCGCCGUCUUGUCCACGGCUUCUCCUUCCUCUCCGGCCGUCCUCCCCCACCUUGCCGGACAACCACUUUGUCUCUAGUGACAGCCGCCGCCGGAUCUGCCUCUGUUGCCCCACCAUCGCUAACCGAGCCGUGACAUGACGCCCCACCAAUAGCCUCCGCCACCGCGGUCGGCGGCUCCCAUCACCUUACUGCACCGCCUUGCUCCCAUCCCACCAUCCCAACCCCGCCCAUCCGGUCAUCUCCCGUCAUCCCGGCCGGUGGCUACCGCCGCCGUCUCGCCCGCUACCACUGCCGGGCAAGCCACCCGCCCCGACCUCCUCUUUAAGCCGGCAAACACCAAAGAACCCCCAACCCCCACUCCUGAAACCCUAACCUCCCACGAUGGUGGCGGAGCGUCACGCCUGAACGAGCGGAUGGGGAAGGGUGUGGAGAAGAAAAUAGAUCGGACGUUCUGUAUCACGCGCACCAAUCUCAAAGAUCGGAAGCCAUAUAAGCUUCCUGGCUUCCGGAAGAUUGCCGCGUCCUAGUGGUGUGCGGUCUGGCCGUCUGGCCCAAUGUGUGCGUGGGCCGUAAGGUUGCGGUUUGUGCCUAUAGGGCUGAGCCCAAUAAGUGUCAGCCCACGGGUAGGAUCCGGUCUCUAGCUGUUGUGCUGUUCAGCGUCGACCGUCGUCGCCGUCGGUUGCCCAUGGCCUCUCUGCUAUAUCAACAUACGGUAACAAUCAUGAUGCACGUGCUGUUGGCCACCGCGUGUAUAGAGUAGACUUUACAUGUACGUAAAAAAAUACCAGAGAAAUCUGUUACAUCUCGCUGCAAUGAUUUAUGCACCAUCCUUUUCAACGCGUGUGUCAUAUGGAUAGCUAGAUUGAUCCUUGAACACUUUAACGUCCACGGAUUCAUCGAUACAUAUUCUCUUUAUAGUAUAGCGUACUAACUCAAUUUCAAAAUAGACAAUGAAUUUAAAUCUUCCCCUGUACGGCAUACAUCAUGAUCAUUGGGGAUUUGCAGAUCAUACACAAUCACAAGUUUUAUUAUACACCUUGCCACCUGUCCGUAUUCUUAACAUAUUUAUUAGUACUUUGGUUAUGUUUAUCAUUAUAAUCAACCAAACCCACUAGAGAGAGCCUGAUGCACUUUCAACUUUACGUGUGCAUAAAAAAACUUGAGAGAAAUCUAUUAGAUCUAGAUGCAAUGACAUAAGCAUCAUCCAUUCCAUGUUUUUUCAAGGAAACACCCCUUUGAUGUAUAAAACAUUGCUAAUGAUUUUUUUCUUUGAAAUGAACCAGACGGAAGAGCUGCCGAUUAUAUUUAAAAAAAAGAACGAAUCCAGACCAGAUAAAACAACAAACAAUAACAUCGACCGGUUGGAUUGGGACAUCAGCACACCCACACAGUUCCAUCGAACUACUCAACUCAAAUAACAAUAACGCAGGAUUGGAUUGGGACAUCAACAUGUGCCGCACAACACAAAUCACCACUCUCGAUACAAUGAAACUAUCUCCAGUCGGUUGAAUUGUGACAUCAACACAUGUCGUACAAAGACAUGAUUCCGCCGCAGCUAAACAACAGCACCACCUCCGGUCACCACCAGCUACCACACCGCUAGAACGCCUCACCCGUGAGGCCUGCCACCAGCUCUCUUUUUUUUUCUUUUUCUUCUUUUAUUAACUCCUUCCUCACUAGCAAGGCAUGAACUUCCAAAGUGACGCCUCCAGGGAGAGGUAUGACGCUGCUGGCGUCACCGUCGCCUGACCAGAUAGUCUAGAUAAACACGGGCAGCACAAGGGGAAAAGGGGCAAAUUGAUAGGCACUUCCAACGAAGUAAACGUCGCCUAAACACGUCACCAUCAUCGGCCUGUAGCAGGCAUGGCUUUCACCAUGAUCCCCGAACCCCGUGCACAGGCUGCCCUCGCCAUACCACGUGAGCCAUUGAUCCCGCCACCAAACUUGGAUGUCAGACUCGGAUGUCCCCGCUGUCACCAGAGGACACCAUGCACGCUGUGAGAGCAGCCGCGGCAACACCACGCACGAUUGCUGAUGAAUUGUUUUUGAGCUGUUGGGAAUGUGAUCAGCAACAAGGCUAGAUUGGUAUGCUUUGCAAGCGCUGUUGGAUGCAAUGCAUUAUCUUUUAUCCUCUAGCCAAGCUCGACUUUACCCUUUUUUUUGAAUUGGGAGUACUGCGGUGCCUCUGGUCCAAGAUGUUGGUCAAUUUUUAGAAAUUAAUAAAUGAAAACGAAUCAUGGAUUGGCCAUGUAAGAUAGGUGCUACUAGAUGUUAGAUACAUGCUACAAGUUUCAUUACAAAUAAUAUUUAAUUAUUGCACCUCGUGGUAUGGGUCAGCAAUUCCAAACAAUGAAUCAAAAAAAAUACUAUUUAAUUUUUUUCGAAACGUAAUAUUUUAAUAUAAAUCGGCCGUCAGAGUGUUAUUUCAAAGACAGCAAAAAUAUCACCUUUGGAUGUUUUCCUUAUUUCUUAUUUUAAUAUCUUCAGGAUAAUUGUCCAUGAAAAUUCAUAUUUUGAAAAGGUGAUGGCAUAGAGUUUUUGUCGGUUGCUGUCGGAGUAUAUGUGCACCACAUAGCUGUAACUGAAACCGUUACGUAUAUUUUGAAUUAGAAAGACAACCACUACCACAGGGGCGAGGAAACCUUCCUGACGGGGAACCGACAGGAACACGACGACAGGGACAGCUACUCAGGAAAGACCAGUUACUCCUGACGGGUGUCUAACAGGAAACAAUUCCCGUCGGCAGCUCCUGACGGGAAGGAACCGGCCGACCAGUUGCAGUUACUGUGGCCGCAACCGACAGGAAUUACCGUCAGGAAACAUAAAAUCGACAGGAACCAAACGUGUUCCCCUGACAGCGGGCCCCGUCAGGAUAGACCUGUUGGCCAACGGGAAUUCAUCAGUGUUCCUGACGGUGUGCACCGAUAGGGAAAACCUCCUGCAUUUUGUAUCUAUUACCAUCAUCAGUUUAAUUCAAAUGGCCCCACAACAUUCAUACAACAUCAAUUUAAUUCAAAUGUCCAGGAUAAGACACAGUACACAUUAAACAUGUCACAUGAGCCAUCCAGAUUAAUUCAAGUAGCACUAACAGAUACAAUCAUCCAAAGUGUCCAUCAUGUCUGGCUAGCACAUAGGCAUAGCAGCAUGCAUGUCCAGCAUGCCCAGCUCCAACACUUUAACCAAGGAGCAAGUCAAGAUCAGUAGUUCAUGAGUCGACUACAUAGGAUGUCAACUGCACAAAACUAGCAAGUCCUACUGCUAGCAAAAGGAGAGGCAUUUUCACUUUCUACCACAUGAUACUACACAAAAAGCAAGUCUUCACAAAAGAAAAGAGGCAUGCUGUACCCUUCACCAUUUCAUUCCAGAGUAGGGUCAUCUUCAUUGUCAUCGUUGCCAUUGCUAGAAGCGUCAUUGCCAUUGCCAGAUGCGCUGAUGCUGUUGCCAGAUGCAUAGUUGCCAUUGCCACAAGCCCUGUUGCCUAAAGUGCCGCUACCAGCACCAUUUUCAGCUUCGGAUGACGACUGACUAACCUGCAAGUAGAUAGAAAUCAAAAGGGUGAAUGGUUGGAAGAACUGCAAUAUAAAUUUGGCUACAUAUGAGAAGCUCAACAUGUCUGAUUAGAUCUCAACUGCUAAAAGCAUUGCACCAAAAAUUUAGUUCCAUCCAGCACACAAUGAUGGACAGUAACAUUUUAACACAAAGAUAGAUUAGAUAUGAACAUGAUGGACAGUAACAUUUUAGACAUACUGGAAUGUGUUUACAACAGUCAAGGGGGGUAAACUAGACCAUAUCUUGGAAUGUGUCUUUAAUUUGACACUGUCAGCAGCAUAUCUUUGAAUCAAAAUUUAUAGUUGAAAGGCCUAAAGCCUCACAGGUAGCCCAGGAGCUCACGCACAGAACACACACAUACACAGUAGUCUUUUUUGUGCUGCAAUUGCUCGCUACCUUUUCUUUUUUCUUCUCUAUUUACACGCAGCCGAGACCUACAAUAGGACCUGUAAUUGAAAGCUAAUAGCUACAGCCAUCACUACCUUGGUUGGCUUAUUAUUCUCACUAACUAGCAGCUGGAAAUCUGCUAAGUAAAUAGGCUCAGUUCCAGGGCAGAAAGUUGAGUUGCAGCAUGUAACACUAGUGAUCAAAUAAAGUAUUCUUGGACAGUAACACUAAUGAUCCUCUGAGAUAUGCAAUGAUCCUAUUUGCAGCAGCAUGUACAGAACAAGAUCAAAUAAAGUGCAUGGUAGUACUGCACCUGCUCGCUUGAUGGUGCACAAGUAUUUGCUUCUUGCAGAAUGGCGACUAUUUCUUCUAGUACUGACAUGUUCAUCUUGGCAAAAAGAUCCUAACAGUGGCACAAUCAGGAAAUGCUUCCAAGAAUCAUUAGGUGGCUACAAAGUGAGUUGAGGUAACUCAAUUACCGGCAUAUGUUUGCACAAAACUAGACCAAUCUGGUAGCCCUUCUCCAGUUGUGCGUUUCGCCUUACAAGAUAUUGAUAAGACCCCGAGUUUGAUUGUCUUGUACCCCUAGCACUUGCUUUCAUAUCACAUUUCCUUAAAGCGCCAUUUGCUAUUGGCACACGGCCAUGAGCCAAGCCAUUCCUACUACUUGGUACAGGGCAUCAGCAUCAAGCUUCCCAUCAUUCUUACGCUGCUCAAAGUCAUUUGGAUGCAAAGCUUCAAGAGUAGCAAAAUAAUCAUCCUAAUAAAGGAAAAACCUCAAGUUAUCUUUCAGAUCAGGUUAUAAACAUUAAAAUUUUGAAAGGAACAAAGUGUGGCAACUUACAACACGCCUUUGGGCCUUUUCUGUUAGGAUUAGACAGCUUUUGCCAUUGCUAUCACAAUUUUUUACACCUGACUUCAUGCAGCAGUAAGUGUUGAUGUCAGCGGCAGCUUCAGGGUCAUACUUCUUUGCCUUGGACAUAGGAGACGCAAUCAGCAACACAGCGGCAAUAACAAAAUAUAGUAGAAACUGUUGGAUAUAUAAGCACUUUUAGUUUAAUUUAAUCCAGAAAUAAUCAUGAAUACGAUGAACAGACAGCAGAUUAAACUAGACAUGUCUACGCAAGAUCUAGACAAGUCUAUCAUUGCAAAUAGAAUCACACAUUCUACCAUACUAUCCAGUGCUAUCAGACUGCAACAGAUCAUAAUAGCUAGUAUGGAAGACAUAAUUUGAGUUAAGAGAUCGUACGUUUCUUUCUUGAUGAAGACCAGCUCCUGGACGACUACUGGGUACAGCAGCCGACGACGAUCAGCAGCCUGACGUUGUUCGCGACGGCGAGUGAGGCCCGAGCGACAAAGAGGUAGACGAGCCGUGGUGAAGGAGUCGACGAAGAACUUGACGAAGCGGAGGAAGCGAUCGAGCAGUCGCGCAGAGCGCUUCCCGAAAACCUUAUUCGCCCUCUCCCGGUGCAGGAUCGCUGUAGGCGACGGUUCCGGAGACCUGCUCUCCCAAUCGCCGGUGCACGCCGACAAUCGGGAUGAAGUAGACUACGGUGGCGGCGCAGCAGCGAGAGGAGGCAAAAACCCUAGCUCGAAUAGAUUUGUUUAUGGUAGAGGCCGGUAGGUCGCAUAUAUAGGAGAGCCCACGAUUCUCACGUGCCCGCGCCCUUCGCCCGGCCCGGCCCGGCGAGGCGAGGCGAGGCGAGGCGAGGCGAGGCGUGGCGUGGCAAGCGAGCGCGCGCGUGUGGAGCUCUUCUUCCCUCCCCACACACAUAGCUUGGAGGAGUGGAGACAACUUUCAUAUUUAAGUUGGUCAUCCCUCCCCUCCACUAGCAAUGUGGGACUAAAGACUUGCACCACUCCACCUCUUGCCCACAUGGGCCUUUGAGAUUUAUUUGAAAUUCUGAAAUUCCUUAUGGGCUAGGCCCAUUAUUUCAACAAUCCCCCACCAGAUCUCAAAUGCCCAUCAGAGAUUUUGCCUGUUUCUCACUGCUGUUUAUAUACUAGUGUUUCGGUGAGGACUGUUAAGUUGAACUCUCGCCUAGAGCUUCAAGCUACAUUCAUCCACAACUUGAACAAUGGACUAAGCCUUGAAUUGCAAGUUUUGUGCGGACAAGUUUCACUCAAAGUCGGGACUAGUACCUGGCUGCCUGUAGCCUACCCCGCGGGUGGGGCAUAUAGGUCGUACCCCUGGUCCCUUCAUGAGCUUAAUAGAGAUCACCCAAGUCUCACAGACUGCGACCUUACAACAGUCGGGCUCAUAUAGGUAUAUUUUUCCAAAAUGUUCUGCAGGGGCAACAUCUUUGCUAAUUAAAGCCAACAAAAUAUAUUAAGGCAGUAGCCAGCCUGCCAUGCAGUGGUUUGAGAGUGUUGCAUCAUUUCUCGAGUGGGUUAGUAGGAUACUCUCAUGCUAUCCCAUGGCUUGUUCUUCCCAGAUCCUACUUCAUGGGAUCUCCGAUCACAUAGGUUGGGUUACCACCACGGUGUAGCUCAUAUGGGUCUCAUACCCAUCUCCUUUGAUGCAUUGUCUAUCACAUUACGUGACAGCCCCUUAGUGAACUGAUCUGCUAAGUUCUUAUCAGUUGAGAUGUAAUCCACUGAUAUUACUCCGGAGUUUCUCAUUUUCCUGACAGAUUUCAGACGUCUCUUAACGUGUCUUGAUAACUUCAUAUUGUCCUUAGAAUUGUUCACUUUGACUAUCAUUGUUUGAUUGUCACAAUUCAUAAGUAUUGCCGGCAUAGGUUUCUCGACAAUAGGCAAGUCCAUCAAGAGUUCACGUAGCCAAUCAGCCUCAACUGUGGCUGUAUCUAAUGCUGCAAGUUCUGCUUCCAUGGUAGACCUCGUUAAGAUAGUCUGUUUGGAUGACCUCCAUGAAACAGCACCACCACCAAGAGUGAAGACGUAUCCACUUGUGGCAUACAGUUCAUCAACAUCAGAUAUCCAAUUUGAAUCACUAUAGCCUUCCAGUACUGCAGGAUACCCGGAGUAGUGAAUUCCGUAAUCCAUAGUGCCAACUAAAUAGCGCAUGACUCGCUCAAGCGCAUGCCAAUCAUCAUCUCCCGGAUUAGAGGUAAACCGGCUCAGUUUGCAAACAGCAUAUGAGAUGUCAGGCCUAGUAGCACUGGCUAAAUACAUAAGUGAUCCAAUAAUCUGAGAGUAUCUUAAUUGGUCUCUACCAAUUCUCUUGUUUUUCCGAAGUAUCAAGCUCGGAUCAUAAGGUGUGGGAGAAGGCUUACUAUCCUUAAAGCCAAACCAGCUCAAGACCUUUUCCACAUAAUGAGAUUGCGUGAGAGUAAUCCCAUUCUCUCCUUUGAUCAGUUUGAUAUUCAGAAUUACAUCAGCCUCUCCAAGAUCUUUCAUGUCGAAAUUUUGGCACAGAAAUAACUUGACCUCUUUGAUCACGUCAAGAUUUGUACCAAAGAUCAGUAUGUCAUCGACAUACAAGCACAAUAUAACUCCCUCACCCCCACCAUGGCGGUAGUACACACAUCUAUCAGCCUCAUUGAUAGAAAAGCCUGCUGAUAUGAGUGUAGUAUCAAAUUUCUCAUGCCACUGCUUAGGUGCUUGUUUUAGCCCAUACAAAGAUUUCAGCAAUUUACACACCUUGUUCUCUUGACCCUUUAUUACAAACCCAUCAGGCUGAUUCAUAUAAAUUUCCUCAUCCAACUCUCCAUUAAGGAAAGCUGUCUUAACAUCCAUCUGAUGGACGAGAAGACCAUGUGAGGCAGCAAGGGAAAGUAAUACUCGAAUACUGGUCAAACUCGCAACAGGUGAGUAGGUGUCGAAGAAAUCUUCGCCUUCUUUCUGGGUAUAACCCUUAGCCACAAGUCGAGCCUUGUACUUAUCAAUAGUACCAUCAGGCCUAAGCUUCUUUUUGAACACCCACUUGCAACCCACAGGUUUACAACCAUACGGUCGAUCAACAACCUCCCAAGUUCCAUUAGAAAGAAUAGAGUCCAUCUCACUAUGGAUAGCUUCUUUCCAAUCAUCUGCAUCUGGAGAUGCAAAUGCCUCUGAAAUAGCUUAGGAGUAUCGUCUACGAGAUAGAUAGUGAAAUCAUCACCAAAGGACUUUGCAGUUCUUUGUCUCUUGCUCCUCUUAGGAGCUUCACUGUUAACCUCCUCAUGAACUGGCUCAAGUGUUUGUUCAGCAUGAUCAGGAAGCACAAUAGGUUCAGGAGUUGUCUCAGCAAUCAUAUCAGAAGAUAGUCUAGACAUACUAUGCAAUUGUUUCAUAGGAAAUAUAUUCUCAAAGAACGUAACAUCACGAGACUCCAUCAAGGUAUUAACAUGAACAUCAGGCACCUCUGAUUUAACCACUAAAAAUCUAUAGGCUAUGCUAUGAUGAGCAUAUCCCAAAAAGACACAAUCCACAGUUUUAGGUCCCAACUUACGUUUCUUGUUGAUUGGCACACUAACUUUGGCCAAGCAACCCCAAGUGCGUAAGUAUGAAAGUGAUGGUUUUCUUCCAAUCCAUUCUUCAUAGGGAGUUUUCUCCUUAUUCUUCAUGUGUACUUUAUUCAGGACAUGACAUGAAGUCAAUACAGCCUCCCCCCACCAUGCCUUAGAUAAUCCACUGGUGUCUAACAUGGCGUUCACCAAGUCAGUCAAGGUGCGAUUCUUUCUUUCGGCAACCCCGUUUGAUUGGGGCGAAUAGGGAGGCGUCCUCUCAUGUACAAUACCAUGUUCUUCACAGAACAAGUCGAAAUCAUUAGAGAAAUACUCGCCACCACGAUCAGACCUAAUUCUCUUGAUCUUUUUCUCAAGUUGAUUCUCAACUUCAGCCUUAUAGAUUUUAAAGUAGUUAAGAGCCUCAUCUUUCGUUUUCAAUAAAUAUACAUAGCAAUAUCUAGACGCAUCAUCUAUCAAAGUCAUGAAAUAUCUUUUUCCACCUUUGGUCAACACACCAUUCAUCUCGCAUAUAUCAGAAUGAAUGAGUUCAAGUGGUGCCAAGUGUCUCUCCUCGGCUACCUUGUGAGGUUUUCGAGGUUGCUUAGAUUGCACACAACUAUGGCACUUAGAACCUUUGACAAUGGAAAAAUUCGGAAUUAAACACAGGCUGGAAAGUCGAGACAUAGAACCAAAAUUCAGAUGACAUAAACGUGAAUGCCAAACACUAGCAUCACUCUCAUUAAUACCAUCACAAAUAUAGUUCACAGACUUAUUGCAAUAAUCUGAAAGGGAAAAGCGGAACAAGCCUCCGCACUCAUAGCCUUUACCAAUAAAUUGUCCACUCUUAGACACGACAAUUUUAUUAGACUCAAGCACUACCUUAAAACCAUCCCUACACAAAAGGGAGUCACUAACUAGAUUCUUCCUGAUAGAAGGGACAUGUUGCACGUUCUUCAGUUGCACGAUCUUUUCCCAAAGUAAACUUCAGAUCUACCGUACCAACACCAUGAACAGAAGCAUGUGACCCAUUCCCCAUUAGGACGGAGGAAUCCCGAGCGACCUGGUAAGAUGAAAAUAAGGAGGCAUCCGCACACACAUGAACAUUAGCACCAGUAUCAAGCCACCAAGUGUUAGUAGACUGAAACAUUGAAAAAACAGAAGGUAAAUUACCAUACCCACUAUUUCCGUCUCCAGCGCUGGUCACCAUGGUCACAGACUUCUGCUGUGGAGGUUUUCUUCCUUUGCGGUUUGGGCACUUCUUUACCCAAUGGUCAGUAGAACCGCACACGAAGCAUCCCUCGUUCUCCUUGUUCUUCUUCUUCUUGAAGGUAGUGGACUGCUUAGGCUUAUUGUUCUUACCCUUGCCCUUGCCACCAUUGCCAUUGUGAUGUGAUUGGUGCACCAUAUUGGCACUGGUCUGACUCUCAACAGCUUUAGAUUGUCCAUCUUUAGCCCGAGCUUUCUCCUCAACAUCAAGAGACGCAAUCAGGUCUGAAACAGAAAUUUUUAUCCUCUUGUGUUUGAGAGAAGUGGCGAAAUCCCUCCAGGAUGGAGGUAACUUGGCAAUAAUGCCCCCAGCCACAAACUUGUCGGACACGACAAUCUUUAGCAGAUCGAGUUCCUUCACCAUGCACUGUAAUUCAUGAGCCUGAGCGACUACAGAUUUUCCAUCAACCAUCUUGUAGUCAUGAUACUGCUCAAUGAUGUACAGUUCAGUGCCAGUAUCUGAGCCACCGUAGUUGGCAGUCAGAUCGUCCCACAACUCCUUUGCGACCGUGUGAUGAAGGUACACAUCCUGCAGAUGUUCUGCAAGUGCACCAAUCACAGCGCCCAAGAAGAUUGUGUUGGCUUCCGAAUAUUCUUUCUCCUUUUCAGGAGAGAGAACCCCUUCCGGCUUGCCAUUGGACACCCAGAACACCUUCAUGGCAGUAAGCCACAGCGUCGCUUUCACCUGCCACCUCUUGAAGUGCACACCAACAAACGGUGCUGGCCUCAGUGUAUCAAGAAAUCCAGCCAUAAAACUAAAGUGCCUACAAUAAGGUUUUUGGAUUGUUGGAUAUAUAAGCACUUUUAGUUUUAAUUUAAUCCAGAAAUAAAUCAUGAAUACGAUGAACAGAUAGCAGAUUAAACUAGACAUGUCUACGCAAGAUCUAGACAAGUCUAUCAUUGCAAAUAGAAUCACACAUUCUACCAUACUAUCCAGUGCUAUCAGACUACAACAGAUCAUAAUAGCUAGUAUGGAAGACAUAAUUUGAGUUAAGAGAUCGUACGUUUCUUUCUUGAUGAAGACCGGCUCCUGGACGACUACUGGGUACAGCAGCCGAUGACGAUCAGCAGCCUGACGUUGUUCGCGACGGCGAGUGAGGCCCGAGCGACGAAGAGGUAGACGAGCCGUGGUGAAGGAGUCGACGAAGAACUUGACGAAGCGGAGGAAGCGAUCGAGCAGUCGCGCAGAGCGCUUCCCAAAAACCUUAUUCGCCCUCUCCCGGUGCAGGAUCGCUGAAGGCGAUGGUUCCGGAGACCUGCUCUCCCAAUCGCCGGUGCACGCCAACAAUCAGGAUGGAGUAGACUACGGUGGCGGCGCAGCAGCGAGAGGAGGAAAAAACCCUAGCUCGAAUAGAUCUGUUUAUGGUAGAGGCCGGUAGGUCGCAUAUAUAGGAGAGCCCACGAUUCUCACGUCGCGAUCGUGAUCUAAACCGGUUAGGAUUCCAUAUAUCUCGCUGACUUAAAGACCAAGUAACCAAAAAAUAAAACGGCAAAAGGAAGCCGCGCCCCCGCAAGGCGAGGGGCCGGAUUUCGGCGGACCAUUCACGCAGGUGCCGCGCGCCCGCGCCCUUCGCCCGGCUCGGCCCGGCGUGGCGAGCGAGCGCACGCGUGUGGAGCUCUUCUUCCCUCCCCACACACAUAGCUUGGAGGAGUGGAGACAACUUUCAUAUUUAAGUUGGUCAUCCCUCCCCUCCACUAGCAAUGUGGGACUAAAGACUUGCAUCACUCCACCUCUUGCCCACAUGGGCCUUUGAGAUUUAUUUGAAAUUCUAAAAUUCCUUAUGGGCUAGGCCCAUUAUUUCAACAGAAACUAAUGUACAAUUCAGAAGUAACUAAAAUACAAGAUAGAAAGUCACAUUGACUUACCAAAUAUCACUUGGUCUGGCUAUGUGGUCGAGAUCCGCCUCUGUUUUGAGCAAAGUCAGGCUGCAUCCGCGAUCCUUGAGCAAGAUGGCACUUCUUUAAGAAACCUGGUGAGCACCAAUAAGCACAUAUCUUGCGCCAUGCCUCAUCAGAAAUCCAUUCUGGCCAAACCUUCAAAUAUUGUGUUUCACGGAGCAAUUUCUUGCGAGCAACUUUGUCAUUUAGCCGCUGAUCUAGGAAAUCGUCAUAAUAGACCUUCACAGCACUCACACGAAGCUCAUACAUCAUGUUUUUGCAUUGCUUGGCAGCAAAUCUCUCAACAACUUCCUCAGCAUGUAAUCUGUCUUCCUCACUCACUGAAUAGAUACUCGGCACUAAAAAAUAGAAUACUCAGCCCAUGUACACCUAUGCUAAUAAAUCCUACAAAGCUGAACAAAAAGAUGACAUAUGUUUGAACUUUUUUACUCACCCAAAACUCUUCUCUGAAAUGAUCAGCUCAUCCAAUGCUCAUCUCUGGUAAUACUAUAAUGAUCCCAUGUCUUUGCAUAAAAUGUUUUCUUAGGACCAUCUUUAACAAUGGAAGGGUAUUCAAGUUUUAGGAUUUCUGUUAUUUGACCACCAAUCACUAUUUUCUUAUCAGAUGAAUCGUUCACAAACUUAAAUUGUCUAUGAGAAAAAGUGAAGACUUAUUAUAGGAUAGCAACAUUAUACAAGAAAAUUUGUGGACAGUAAUACUACAUAUCCAUUAACUAGAAAAGAAAACCACUACUAAAGCAUUAACAUAGACAACCACUAGUGAACCACUACUGAAACAUUAACUAGGCAAUGAAACGAAUCAAUUCUAUGAAUUUCCCAAAGAAAAAGGGUAUCAGAAGAUGUACUCACUCAUCUCCAACAUGUUUAAUAGGAGUCUGUUAGCCAUUUGGGGGUCUUUUUAGCUUGGUAGGUCCCCUCUUCUUCUUUCUUUGGCUUCCUUGCUAUUUGCAAUGGCACUUGGGAAGAGGGCGGCGGCGAUAGUGGGGGGGAACGGCGGAGGGGAAGCAGCGGUAGUGGGGGAGGGACAAUGGCAGGGGAGCGGCGGUCGGGGGAGCAGCGGUCGUGGUGGAUGGACGGCGUCGGGGGAGUGGCGGUCCAGCGGAGGGACGGCGUCAGGGCCUUGGGGGAGCGGCGGCGGGGAUGCGCACGUUGGCCGAGCGGUUGCUGACGCUCUUUAUUGACACACUUUUUCCCAUGUUUAUCUUUAAUAAUGACAUGAAUUUAAUACAUAAACUAAUGAUCACACCUAAUAAAUCGGUCAUUUUCACAUGUGCAACAUAUUUUGGAGGAUAUUUUAUUUUUGCAGGAAAUUGUACCUAAAAGCAUAUUUUUGGAUAAAGCACCGAAUGAGCAUCGAACCAGACUAAGACGAAGGCCAACGGGACUACGAAGGGCUUAGGCCGAUCGGCCCAGAGGAGCCCAGGCCGAUCGGCCUAGGGUCCUCUAGCGCCUCCUGAUGCCCAUCUUUGGCAAGCAAUCAUUCGAGAUGAUUUAAGAGCUAAGUUUGUAAAAACAUGGCAAGGAUGACUUCGAGAUCAAAGAAGAAUCAAAAAAGAUUAAGCGGAGAUUUGGAAAGUUAUUGAAGAUCAAUUUCAUCCCGAAGCUACCGACGUGCCAGGCCCACAUGCAAGUGAAAAUAAGACUCCUGAGCAUCUAAGAAGACUUGGGAGUUUCCUUCGCCCCCUCGCCUUCUAAUUUUUACCAUGCGCUCUCUAGACUAUAAAUACCUCAAAAAUCCAUCGAGCCCCAUAUCCAAGAUGAUGUACUCGACGUGAAGCAGUAGAGAAGCAAAACAAGCUUGAGGGACACCUCUCCGGAGAGCCAAGAGCCGUGCAAUUGUUGGGGGUUAGCGUAGCUGAACCUCUGCCGGCGUGAUCACCCUGCGAGGAAGAUCAUACUGGAGUUCUGGAGCUAGCAAUCAUCAAGAUCAAGGUAGGAUCCCUGUGGUGAUCUUGCAAUGUACAAUCAUUCAUGAUGAAGUAAUAGAUGUGUUCAUAUUCUUAGCGAUCUAAGUAUCUCCUUUGAUGAUUUUAUGCUUUAUCGAGUUUGCUUGCUUUUCCAUCUAUGAAUCGAUGAUAUAUUGUUUAGGGUGUUCUUGUGGUCGUGAUGACUAGAUUUGCAUGGCUGAUCUACCGAUGAGUAUGACAUGUUCUCUUGAUCAUGCCCUUAACCUGCUUGCGCUGAUAAAGGUGAUCGUGACAGGAUCUUUCUUAUGUAAGGUGGAGGGUUUCAGGAUCUGGACCGGAGGUGUAGAUUUAAAGAUGCUUUUUACUAGAAUCAUAUCUAUGUUAUUUUGCUAUCCAUGCUCAGAAUUACAACAUAUGCAUAGUCUAGGUUGCUCUAGAUUGGUUAUCUCUGAUCUAUCUAUUAUCUGUCUAUACAUGCUCAGUAGAUUGGAUCUGAAUCUCUCAUAAACACCAAGUUAAUACUAACAAUGCUAGUUGAAAUAGAUCUUGUGCUAUAAGUUCUAUGGAUUGAUAAACCUUAGGAGAAUACUAUGAGGGAAGAGCUACAACUGAUCCGUACGUUUGCGGUUCACAAUUGGCGUGCUAACAGCCGUCAACAGCGGCCAAGCACGAGGUGGCGGUGAGAUUGGGAUAGGGUUCCGAGGGGAGGAGAGGCUUGGGGUAUUUUGAUGGAUUGGUGUUAGUACGUGGGUCCGAGUGUGGGAUAGGGCGGGAUAGAAGUGCGCCCGGCCAAUUUUUUGCCCAAGACUGAUUUUUCGACGCGUGGGAGUGAAAUGCUACGCGGGUUCAGUGCGAGCGCCCGACGGAACAAGGUUUCCUGUCGGUUUUUUCUACCGUCGGGACCACCACAUAAUUCCUACCAGUUUUCCAAUAUCCUGACGGUUUAGCGAAACCGAUAGGAAUUCGGGGCUGGUUUCCUGUUGGUUUUUCCCCUCCGAUGGGAUUGUGCAAGGAUUCCUGUCGGUUUUCUUAAAACCGACAGGAAAAAUAAAAACCGACAGGAAUUUCUAGUUUUCUGGUAGUGAACUAGGAGAGAAGUUUACAAAGAAAACAGACAGGAAAAAUAAAAACCGACAGGAAUCUCUGGUUUUCUGGUAGUGAACUAGGAGAGAAGUUUACAAACACUGGAGAGUGAUGCAGCAAGAAGUCCACACUCCAUAGUCCAUAGUCCAUACUAGGACUCCAGUAGACUACCAGUGCAUCGGAAAAAUCUUCUCCGUUCACUUGAUUUUCACCUAAUCAGGAACAUUCCCCUGAAGGUUUGUACUAGAUUCUAAAGAAACUUCCCUUUUUUGCAUUCCGUGUUGUAAAUUCACAUGAUUUUGGAAUGGAAAAAGUAAUACCAAGUCCUGCAUCCUCUCAAGUUUCAAGCACAAAUAAGUUUCAUAUUCUCCUAAGUAAUUGUUACAUUUGUACUGCUAUACUUGACUUCCAAAUGAACUUCAUAUGAAAGGAAGUGUGUGUUAUGGGGAAAUGAAAAUCACAAACGUGUUUCACUGAACAUCAAAACACGUGAUCGAAGAUGGUAGUAGAAAAAAUGUUCAAAAGUACUAUAUACGGCUGAGUUAUUCCUACUACUAUAUAGCAAUAAAAAGAAAAGAAGGAAACUUCAAGGUAGCUACACCUAUACAUGGAUGUAAUUAACAAGCAACUCCAAUUGUAUUUCCACUGUAGUCUACUAGAAACCAGAAUAUGCAACACAAAAGGAUGUGAUGAACACAUGAUCCAAACUGCUAUAAAGAUUACAGGGUACCUAUGUGGAUAUUGUGUUAGAGAAUGAAAAAACAAGAGAGCAUACAUACUUAUCAUGUAUGAUGUCACGUUAGAAAAAAGAAGUCAAAUAAACAUGACAAUUGGACACUUUAGAAACAUAGGUGAUACAUCACAACCAAAAUUUCUAGGUUAGUCGGUGGUGAAGAGCAAUCAUUUUCUAUUUAGGUGGUACAUAGACCAAAAAUUCUAUGUUAGUCGGCGGUGAAAAACAAUCAUUUUCUAGACGUCAUUUCCUUCCGAGAACGUCAAGAGUGAUUUCUCCCUAUAUAGUUGUAGGAACCAGUAAUUUAUGCAUUGAGCAAAAAUGAUUGAUCAAUAGUUCUAAAGAAAAUAGUGGCAGUUUAUGUAUUUGAAUUCUUGAAAGAGUACAGCUCGUGAGUGUGACAAUCGGGAAAAGAAAAGAAUACCUCCCAGUAUAUCCCAGAGGCAGCGAAGGACAAAGGGCCCGUUCAAACUUUGCUACAGUACUCCGGUAGUAUGUGGCUGUGCUGCUCUUAACUUUGCUAAACGGGACAUGCCGUCCUUUAUACUGCAGGGUUCUCAGUUUUGGGAGGACCGUAUGGUCCAAUAGUUUCUUUUAGACGGAAUGGGCCAUGCACUCUCUUUUUCUUUUGUACAAAAUGGGCCAUGGUUUUUAAACGAUAUGGGCAAUUGUCGCUUAUGAUGGCAACUAUGGGCUCGUCUUGGCUAUGAACCCAAGCCCAGUUCUUGCAGGUGUGGGUGUGUCAGCAGAACUGCGGCCUGGCCCGCACGCGCACGGGCGCGGGGCACCCGUCGGCGCCUCGGCGGCCGCCUGCCCGCCUCCAUCGCGGGCUUCAGGCGAGUACGCGACGGCACGCGCACUCCGCCCCCGCCAGCCAGAACCCUGGCCGCAGCUGUGCGCGCCGGUUCGCCGCCGCGCGUUUGCCACCACGAUGCUCACUCCACCGAUGACCGCAUUGCCAACUCAAUUUCAGGUAUGGAAGCACCAACUCCGACAAAACCUUUUUUUUCACAACCCCUUCUCCCAACUCUCCCAAGUAAACUUGGUGAUGGCAUAUUUAGCAGCAGGAAUCACAUAGUCAAGCAUUACUACAGCAAAAGAAAAAUGGAACACUGUUUUUCCGAUAAAGAAAAUGGAACACUGUAUGUAAACCAGAUUGCGUGAGUUCACAAAUAAGUCAUCAAUGAUGAUUACAGGUGACCCUUGAAAAAAAAAAGGGGAUGGUUACUGGUAGCAAAACUGAAUGUCCUAUAAUUGUCACCAGAAGUCUGCAUAGAAACGCAGCCUGCAGGUUUCGACAUAGCACGAGCAAAGAUGGAUCUGUUGAUAUAUUUUUCAGAUAUCUUUUAGCCAUCAAGACGAGCAAAGUGCAAACAUAAACUACAAUGCAUGGUGAAUUUGCAGGGGAAAAAUCUAAACCAAAACUGAGGAAGCGUGCAAAGAUAAUCCUGAAGUUUGCCAUGAACGAAAAGGUGUGGCACAGACUCUUUCCCAUCAGUCAUAUUACCUGCCUGUGCGAGUUGGGACUGAAAACAGCAAACCUGAAUAUUUGUCGAACAUUUGACACAGUCUCAUAGUAAUUUGAUCGCUCCAGUAACAAGAUAAGGUGGAAUGGAUAAAAAAAAUAAUUACUACAGCAGUCCUCUCUGCUAAGAGAAUGCACAAGCCACUCAGUAUGGCUACUUCCAGAAAGUAUUUCAGCCCUAUUUAUGAUACAUAAGAAAAAAAUUGCAGUGUUAUCCUUUCUGCAAAAAUUCGCAGCUAGAAUGAAGCCUUUACAUCGUUUACUGAUAUCCAGAUUUACAGACAGAAUGGGAGGCGAGGGCGAUUGUGACUGCGGAUGUAGCGCACCAGAUCAUCGCUAUAGUUCUUGUGGUAAACAAUCGCGUCGCUCAGCUGCUUAAUGGCUUCUCUCUUCUCCUGCACUCUAGCUGCUAGCUCUUCUUCUUUCUCUGCCACCGUCUUCUCGAGCUGGACCAUCUUCGCUUCUGCAUCAGCUGUGUUCUUCACCAUUUCUGACACCAAUUUUUCUUUCUCUCUCAACCUGACAGCCAUCUCAUCAUUCUCCUUGACAAGCUCCUUCUGUUCAUCAAGAUGAUCAUGUAGCUUCUUCCUCAGGACAUUAAGCUCUUCACCACAUGCAGAUGAACGAUCAACGAAGAGUGCAAAACUCUGACAGAAGAGUGGUUCUAGCUCGUCCAAUUUGUCAGCCAAUUCAGAGACCCCUGAUUCGGCAUGUCCUUUUACUUGCAUGAGAGUUUCUUCCAGCAAGUUGACUCUCCCAGAAAAUUGUUUUACCAGUUGUUCAAGAUGAUGGAUCUCUGCCUGUGAUGUCUCCACUGCCAUUGCGUAGCUGUCUUCUUUGCAUUUGCUUUCUGCCUCGGUAACUUUAAGCUUCUGCUUGGCUAGCUGGAGUUGAACUUCAAGGUCUUGGACAUCCUUUUGUAGCUUUGUGUUCUCCUUAUUUGCAGAUAAAUUUUCCUCUUCCAGAAGUCGAUGUUUCUCCAAAGUUUCUGUGUGUUUCUCCUCUAGUUGACCUAUCUGCUCAAUCUGAAGCCUCUUAAGUAUCUCGAGCUGGGAGACCCUCGAGGACACCUCAUCAUAUGCAUACUGAAGCCUCUGACAGCUGCUAGCAACCCCUUUCAGGCUCUGGCGGAGAACCACAAGUCCAGCCUCAUGAUCUGAAAUUUUUUGUGUAACUCUAUCUUCAAAUUCCGUCAUAAAUGACAUGUUUACUGUGCAUGCUUCAAUCAUAAUUUUUAGAUCCUCCUCCAACUUGGUCUUUUGAUAAGACAAUAGAUCGAUUGUCUUCUCCAGAUCUUUUGUUUUUGUACUCAUGUCAUCAAUUUGACAAGCUGCUUCAGCCUGAGCCUUCUCGAGAUUCUCAUGUAGGUUAGAUACUUUUAGUAUUGCCUCUUCCAACUGCUUUUCCAAGGUAGAAUUAUUUUGCAGCUGAACUGAAAGUUCAUCUUUCAGCUGUGUCACCUCAUUCGCAAGAUUUUGUACUGAAUCCUCUGAUUGCUUCAGCUUUGUUAGCACUGCAUCCUUCUCUUCUUGUGUAGCCUUAACCUCCUGCUGCAGCUCAGCCUUGGCUUGUUCUGAUUGCUCGGUCAAAGUACAAAUGAUCUUCUGUGACUCAUCAUUAGCUUGCUGUAGAGUUGAAAUGUUCUCGUUUUGGUUUUGAAGGGCAAUCUCAAGAUUUCUGACAGAAGCCUGAGACGUCUGUAACUCCAAUAGCGUUGCGUCCUUCUCUGCACGUAGUUCUGCAAUUUCAGCAUGCGUACUGCUCCUGACUUCUUCCAACUGCUUGUCCAAGGUGGAAUUGCUUUCUAGCUGAACUGAAAGAUCCUCUUUCAGUCGUGUCACCUCAUUCUCAAGAUUUUGUACUGAAGUCUGUGACUGCUUUAGUUGUGUUAGUGUUGUAUCCUUCUCUUCUUGUGUUGCCUCAACCUCCUUCUGCAGCUCAGCCUUGGUUUGUUCUGAUUGCUCAGUCAAGGUACAUAUGUUUUUCUGUAACUGAUCAUUAGCUUGAUCCAGAGUUGAAAUCUUCUCACUUUGCUUUUUUAGCACACUCUCCAAGUUUCUGACAGAAGCCUGAGACACCUGUAACUCUGAUAGAACUAUGCCCUUCUCUGCUUGUAGUUGUGCAAUUUCAGCAUGCAAACUGCUCCUGACCUCCUCCAAUUGCUUGUCCAAUAUAGCAAUGUUGUUCUUCAGAUCUUCAUUAGCUAGAUUCAUUUUUGAGAUUUGCUCUUUUCCUUGCUCCAAUUCAAUUCUAAGAUUCUUGAUAGAAGCCUCAGACUGCUGCAGAUCUGAAAUUAUUUUGUUCCUUUCAUCUUGUAAUGCUAAAAUUUCAGCAUGGUGACUAACCUUCGCCUCUUCCAGUUGCAUCUUCAGGUUGGAGUUACUAUUUUGUAGGUCUUCAUUAGUAAGCUGCAGAACAGAAAUUUGUUCAACUUGUUGUUCUAAAUUGCUUUCAAGAUUAAUAACAGAAGCAGCAGCUUCAUUUUUUUGUCCUUUUACUUCUACAAUUUCAUUAUGCAUGUUAGAAUUUGCCAGCUCUAGUUCUUCAGUAGUCUUCUGCAUAUCUGAAAUCCUCUCAAGUUGUUGUGCUAGCUCAGUCUUAAGAUUCAUCAAAGAAGCCUCUAGCUGCUCUACCUCUGACAUGGCCGAAUCCUUCUCCUCCUGUAGCUCGGCCAUAUUACUAUUCAUAACAUUUCUUGUUGAUUCCAGUUCCUUUUCUAGAUCUUUAAUACUAGACUGUGCCUUCUCUAUCUCAUUCAAGUAUAUGGAAUUUUCUGAUACUAGUCUUUCUUUUUCUUCUGCUGCAUUAUUACGCUCCUUGUCUAGAUUGUUCAUUAGCUCUGCGGCCUCGACUUUCAGGCCAUCUAUCUCCAACCCCAGUUGCUGGAGUUUUCUUUCAGCUGAAUGAUUUUCUGUGAUCAAGGAUUCAUUUUCAGCGGUGAUUUCUGCAAUGGCUGCCUUCAGUUGAAAGCACUCAACAUCUAAAUUCUGAUGAAGUGCUUUCAGGUUAUCAUGCACAACCAACAGCAUCAAGUUAUCAUUCUUCAGCUUCUGGUUUUCUUCCAACAAGGCAUGCACUUCUUUCUCAGCCUGUUGGGCCUUCUCAACUUCUGAUGAUAGGAGGCUGCAUUUGUCCAUUGUAUCUUUCAGCUGAUUCCUCAUAUCUUCCUUCUCCUUCUCGAUGUCUACAAUUAACAUCUUCAGGUUAUCUCUCUCUU